Molecule: long non-coding RNA, 79300 nt
Filed under: Vitis vinifera (wine grape)
Lineage: Eukaryota; Viridiplantae; Streptophyta; Magnoliopsida; Vitales; Vitaceae
Description: long non-coding RNA (VVIN_LNC003902)
Source: RNAcentral
GCCUAUAAUAUCAGCAACGAAGAAGCCGAAAAGCUUGCCAAAAGCCAAACUGGUGUUUUGCUUAUUAAGCUACCAGAGGGCCAAAAAAUGCCCCACCCCUGCAAGAACAGUACUGAUAAAUUGGUGUACAAUAUUGAUGCUGCAUUACCUGAUAUCCACGUCCAAAAUGCUGGGUUGCUUACUGCCUUGACAGCAAAGAAGUUUCCAUUCCUUGGAGAAGUUGGGCUCAGCGCCACCCUUGUGAAGCUGGAUGCCAAUGCCAUGUCCUCACCGGUAUACGCGGCAGAUUCGUCGGUUCAAGUAAUUUAUGUUGCAAAAGGGAGUGGAAGGAUUCAAGUUGUUGGCAUCAAUGGUGAACGUGCCUUGGACACGAAAGUGAAGGCUGGCCACUUGUAUGUUGUGCCAAGGUUCUUUGUGGCCUCUACCAUUGCAGACGGUGAAGGAAUGGAGUACUUCUCAUUGAUAACAGCUACACAGUAAGCAUCAAUCUAACAAAUUGUUUUUCUCUUUAAACAUCAUUGAUUGUGGGGUUAAUUACUAACUAUUUGUUACAUGUCGUUUGUUUGUUUACAGACCUGUAUUUGGCGAAUUUACUGGGAAAACAUCAGUAUGGGGAGCAUUAUCUCCACAAGUUUUACAGGCCUCGCUCAAUGUGGCUCCAGAGUUUGAGCAGCUUUUCAGGGCGAAGAUAAAAAAGAGCACCAUUCUUGUUCCUCCACAGAACUAGAUUGAUUAAUAACCAAAGGCCCUCAUGAUGUAUCAUCAUUUGUUUUCAGGAGUUACAGGGCUAUCAAAAUACAAUAAUUGUACUCCUAAGUAUUUCUUUUAUAUGUGUAUCCGUGAGAUGGAAAAUGUUGUACAACUAUUAAUUAUAUGGCAAUAAAUUAGGUUAUGAACCUUAGUGUACUCAUUCUGAGUGCAUAUAUAUUUGUCUAUGAGAGUGAUGGUUUUAUUCCCAUCUUUAACCUAAUUGACUAAUGAAAGUGGACAAUGCUAUCAUCUCUUUCCUUCAAUCAAUCAUCACCCACGUCCCCAUUAUCAAGGGGCCUUGCACCGCUGUCAUUCCUUCUCAUGAAAGAGAGUCAAAGGCGAAUCUACAAGGGGAUAUUCUUGGAUCAGAGGUAGAUCCAAGGCUAUAAACUCGGCGGACCACAGCUUUGAGUAGUUCCGCGCAGCAUACUGCAAUGACAACCCAUUCGUAUAUAUACCGAGUUCAGAGCCACAGCCAGGAGGGAUAAACUUUAGUCAAGAGGAGAACUGUCCAGAGAGACAGAGGGGGCAACGAUCAUGGGUUCUUUCUGUAAGCAUCAAAACGCUAACCCUGAUUAAUGAUUUCUCUCUUCUUUUCUAUAUCUAUGUGUGUGUUUGAUGAUUGGGUUGGUUGAUUUUUUCUUGUAUUUGCAUCAAUUGGGCCUGCAGUUCUUUGUAUUUGGGUUUUGUUAUUGAAGUUGAUUUGCUUCUGAUACUGGUGUUUCCCUUCUGGGUUUUGUUUGGUUUCCUCUUUUGGUUGUGGUCUUAUACUGGAUUGUUGGGUUUUUCUGGUUUUGUGCAAAUUAAUAGCCAAUGCCAAUGUACAGUAUCUGGGAAUGAGUUAACAGUUCCAAAACUGUUUUUUUUCAAUUAGAUUUUAGCCUUUUUUACAUCUAUGGAAAUCCAUUUUUCUGACUGGGUUUUGUUGGAUCACUUGAUUCUAUGUGCAUUGAUUUUUAAUUUGUAUAUACAGAUAUAUGCACAGGUAGCAUUAAUUGCAUUGAUAUUGGAUACCAGUCAAUACUUUGGAAAAAUAAUAUAUUUGUUAAUGAGGGUUGACUUAGGUUUCCCAGUCCAGAAUCUUACCUAGAUCCAGCCUGUUUAUGUAGUUUUUGGACCAACCUGAGAUUAACUCCAGCCUCAAGGAGUUGCCAGCUCUAGCAAGACCUGUCAUUGGGAGAUCAUGUUCAUACUUCGACGAAGAUAGACAAUUAAGACUUUAUUUUUUUGACAAAAAGUGAGAAUGAGAUGGAGAGAAGGGGGGAAGUAAAGUAAAUUAAAAGAAUAUAUAUAUAUAUAUAUAUAUAUAUAUAUAUAUUAAGGUCUACGUGGAUCUAGAGGGACUAAUUUGCAUAUAAGUUUCAAAAGCAGUCUAAUUUUCAUAUUAUGCAUGCAUCGAAGCCUAAUUUGCCCCAAAAUUUAUCGUGAAUAAUCUACUCGUCACCUAACUUAACCAAAAAAAACAAAAAAAACUACUACUAUUAUCUAUUUAUCUAAAAUUUAUAAAUUAGACAAUCCUAAUAAUAUUUUAUAUUAAUAUUAGUAAUCCUAAAUAAUUUCCAAUGCUAAUAUUAUUAUCACUAAUAUUAUUUUCAACUUCCUAAUCGAUAACAAUUUAAUUAAAGAAUUUCCAAAUUUCCAUAAAAUAUAUGUUCUUUCCAAAAAUCUAUUACCAAUAAUCACUCAUAUCUAUAUAUUUUAAACAAAAACUCCUAAAAUUGUUUUCUUUUUGUCUUUUAUUAAAUUAUUAUUAUUAUUAUUAUACCAACUUUGUACUUCACCAAAUUCUCAAAAUUUAUUUAUUUUUUUUUUAAUUUUUCACUCACCCAUGUCAGGUUUAGUCCUCUAAACUUGACAUAUCUGAAUCUUGAAAAAAAAUGUAGAUGCUUCUCUCAUCUCCUCAUCUAAUUCCCAAGCGGCCUCUCGAAUACUGUAAUUACUGCAUUAAACCUCUACCAACUUGGCAAUAGCAUAACCUAGUACCUUAUCUAUUGCACCUACAAUUAGAACAUGUACUUCUUCAUUAGUCAAAUCCUUUGACAUUUGAAUAGGCUCCAACUCUACAACAUGAGAGGGAUAAAAAACAUACUUCCUCAAAGCUGAUACAUGAAACACAUUAUGAAUCUUAAACAAUUUUGGGGGCAAGGACACUUUAUAUGCCAAGGUGGCUACUCUUUCUAAGAUUUCAAAUAGUCCCACAAACCGAGGAUUAAGCUUUCUGUUUCUCUCAAAUCCUAUUGUAGACUUUGUAGGCGAAACUUUUAAGAGAACAUGAUCACCAACCUCAAACUCCAAAUCUCAUAUGUGAUUAUCAGCAUAACUCUUUUGUUUACUUUGAGUUGCGUUCAAUCUUUAUUUAAUCAAGUCAACCUUUUCAAUAGUUAACUGCACAAGUUCAAGCUCCAAAAGUUCCCUCUCUCUGACAUCAUCCUAAUAAAUAUGAGAUCGACAUCUCCUACCAUACAACCCCUCAAAAGGUGUCAUUCCAAUGCUAUCUUGAAAGCUAUUAUUAUAGGCAAACUUUACUAAAGGUAAUUAAUCAUCUCAAUUACCUUUCAGGUCUAAAGUAUAAGCUCUCAACAAAUCUUCUAAAACCUGAAUUCCCUCUUUAAUUGACCAUCAAUUUGAGGAUGGAAACCAAUAUUAAAACUCAACUUAGUAACCAAAGCUUUUUGUAAACUAUGCCAAAAUCUAGAAGCAAAAUGAGGAUCCCUAUCGAAUACUAUAGAAAUAGGUACCCUAGGCAUUCUUACAAUCUCCUUGACAUAAAGAGAAGUCAAUUAGUCCAUGGAGAAAGUAACUUUCAUAGGUAGAAAAUGAGUAGACUUUGUUAAUCGAUCAACAAUCACCUAAAUAAAAUUAUUACUGCCUAAGUGGCAACCUUAUCACAUAAUCCAUGGUAAUAUGUUCACAUUUCCAUUUAAGAAUAGAAAGUGGUUGCAAAGACCUUAUUGGGCAUAUAUGCUUAGCUUUCACUUGUUAACACACCAAACACUAAGCCACAAAUUGUGUAAUAUCUCGCUUCAUGCCUGACCACCAAUAAUUUUGCUUCAAAUCUUUGUACAUCUUUGAGCCUCCUAUGUGGAUUAUAAGUCUAGGACAAUGAGUUUCCUUCAAAAACUCUCUCCUUAAGUCUCCAUCAUUUGGGACACAAAGUCUAGUCCCAAAUAUUAAGAUUUCAUCAUAUGACAACAUAAAGGCAAGCUUACCGCUCUUUUUAACUUCCUUCAUAAGUUGGACCAAUUACAAAUCAUUCUUUUAUGGGGUCUUAAUUAUCCUAACCAAGUCUUGUUGUACUAUGAAAUUCACUACAAGAGAUCUUGAGUUCUGAACAAUGAUAUGGAUUUGUAAACACCUCAAAUCCUUUAGUAACCGCCUCUAACAACUUCUAAUAGUUGCUAAGGAACCAAUUGAUUUCCUGCUCAAGGCAUCAACCACAACAUUUGCUUUCUUUGAAUGAUAUUGAAUAACGUCGUCAUAGUCCAUAAGUAACUCUAUCCAUUUCCUUUGUUUCAUGUUUAAUUAUUUUUAGGAAAACAAAUACUUCAAGCUCUUAUGAUUUGUAAAUAUCUCACAAGUUUCAUUGGAAAGGAAAUGUCUUUAAAUCUUAAGUGCAAAAACACCAUAACUAGCUCCCAAUCAUGAGUGGGGUAGUUUUGCUCACAAGGCUUUAACUGUCUAAAAGCAUAAGCCACAACUUUCUUAUUUUGCAUAAGAACACACCCCAAACCCUAAUGAGAAGCAUCAUUAUACACUCAUGUUCCUCUACUUCUCGAGUACACUAAAAUAUUAUCUAUAAAAACCAUGACAAACUAAUCUAGAUAAGGUUUGAAUACCCUAUAAGUUCAUAAAGGCAGUAGGUGCAUUAGUUAAACCAAAAGGCAUAGUAAAAAAAUCAUAAUGCUAUCUAGUUUCAAAAAACAUUCUUGGGUACAUCCUCAUUUCUAACCCUUAAUUGAUGAUAUCUAGAUUGAAGAUUGAUCUUAGAGAACACACAUGCACCUUGAAGCUGAUCAAACAAAUCAUUAAACUGAGAAAGAGAAUACUUGUUUCUCACCAUCACCUUAUUCAACUCUCUAUAAUCAAUGCAAAGUCUUAUUAAUCCAUCAUUCUUCUUCACAAAUAAAAUAGGAGCUCUCUUCACAAAUCAUCAAUCUGAGGAAGAGAAUACUUGUUUCUCACAAUCAUCUUAUUUAACUCUCUAUAAUAAAUGCAAAGUCUCAUUGAUAGGUAAUUCUUCUUCACAAAUAAAAUAUGAGUUCCUUAAGGUGAAACAUUGGGCCUAAUAAAACCUUUAUUUAACAACUCCUAAGGUUGAAUCUUCAACUCCUUAAGUUCUAUAGGUGCCAUCUUGUGUGAGGCCUUAGAGAUAAGAGUUCUUCAUGUUACCAAAUCAAUGGUAAACUCCACCUUCCUCUAGGGGGAAGCUAGGCAAAUUGUCUAGAAAGACAUAAGGAUAAUUCCUUACAAUGGGUAUCUUCUCCAACCUUAAAUAAUUUUCAUGACUCACCACAUAUGCCAAAACGCCUUAAUAAGCCUUCCUUAUCGGGCAAAUAACUAGUUUGCAAGGCUGAGAUCAUACACAAUGGUCUAUCCACAUGUUUCCCCUCACAACUAAACUCGAGUUGACAAAAAAUGUGAAACAUCACCCUUUUUCCAAAACAAUCAAUAGAGGCAUGAUAGGAAGCUAAUCAAUCCAUUCCCAAAAUCACAUUAAAAUGCUAAAGGUCAAGGAAUACUAAGUUAACUAACAUCUCCCUAUAACCAAUAUAUCAUCAUAAGAUAAUCUUUAAGCAUUCUAUUGGCCACAUCAGAAUCUCUUAAAAGAGUAGCAACAUUAAUCAAAUCAAAGUCCAUGCUAGCCACUAACGUACGUAAAAAACUAAUGAAAGAUAUUGAAACAAAAUAGUGCAUUGUGCUUGAAUUCACCACUAAGAAACCAAUUAGGCAAUUUAAAACCAUCAGGAAGAAUAUGUAGGAUUAAUUUGUACUAGAUGAAGCUAAAACUUAAACUAAUGUGUCACUCUUCUAUCCCUAAAGUAAACUAAAUCAAGUUCGCAACAAGAUCAUAACCUAAUGCUCUGAUACCAUUCUAUCACGCCCCAAAACCUACUCUAAGGGUGUGAUGGUCAUUUUACACCUCAAGAUUAAAGGCUUAAAGUGAGAAUGACUCAAAUAGUCAUCUUAUAACUAGAAGGUUAACAAUUACUAAAUUCUUGUUCAAAGUAUUAAAAUAAAACAUUUCUAUAAUCCUUAAAUCUCAACUUUAAAACUAACACAUCAAUCAAAGUACUAUUGUCCAAAUAACUUCAAACUCAAAUAAUUCAAAUAAUAAUUAAAUUCUAACAUCUAAAUAAUAUCCAAAAUAAAGUUUAAAAAAAAAAUCCUAACAAAGACAAUUUCCUAGCCUAACCAUCACUCCUCGCUUGAAUUGAGAAUACUAGAAAAAAAUUAUCAACGAAAGGGAAUGAACUCAAAACCCAAUAAGAAAUACUAACAUAGUUUCAUAAAUCAAACAAUUUCAAUUAUGAUUACAAAUUAGCAAUGUUUUCAUAACCAGACUAGUCAUUGAACCGAAAAAAUUACCGGUUCACGAUUCACUGAUAGGAUCGGCGGUCGUAUCGUGGUUGAACCGGUGAUGCAAUAAAUAUAUAAUUUAUAUAUUAUUUAAAAUUAAAAUAAUUAUAAAAAAUUAAAAAUAUAUAAAAUUAAAAAUUUUAAUAAUGUUUGAUUUUUAUAUUUGGUAUAUUAAAUUAAAUGAUAAAGUUUAAUAUUUUAAAUUUUAUUAAAUAGAAAUAUGUAAUAUUUAAGAAUGAAGAUAUAUUUAAGAUGAAAAAAAUUUAUAAUAUUUAAUUUUAUCUUUUUGUCUUUGUAUUUUAUUGUUUUAAAAUUAUUAUAUUAAUUAAUUUAUAUUAUUUUUUAUUAUAAUUAUUAUCAUAUUAUUAUUAUAAAAAUAAACAGGAAUUUAAAUAUUUACAUUUCUUUAAAGAUUUUAUAUAAUAAAAAUUUGAGAUAAAAACAUUAAUAAUAGAUUCUUAAUAUAUAUAUAUAUAUAUAUAUAUAUAUAUAUAUAUAUAUAUAUAUAUAUAUAUAUAUAUAUAUAUUAUUUUUAUUUUUUUUUAACAACAUCAUUUAAUAAAUAUGGUGCAAUGCUCAAUGGUUCAAAGACUUCAAACUUUAAUAUUUAAGAGAUCUGUGCAUCCAGUCCUUCAAGAAGCAAUGUUUUACUUCUAAUUAAUCCCAAUCCUAGUCCCACAUUGGAAGCACAUGAAUUCUAUGUGCUCUAUAAAUACCUUGCAACAUCCCUUAUAAGCCAAACUUGCCAGCAUAUUGGGCCUGGAGGCAUGACCCAAAUAUAAGUUUUAUAAGCAUUUCUUGUCAUUGGAUUGGGCCUAGUGGUUUGGACCAAAUAUGGGCUUAUAAUUAGUUUUAGUUUUAAAAGUAGUGGGCGUGGAAUGGGCCUCUUAAUAGUAAACAAAUAUUUGUAGCAAUUGAGGUCUGACCAGUUUAUAAAAAAUUGGACAGUUUGUCUGAUUCGGUGGUUCAACCGUCGGUUUGAACAGUUUCAUGCCAAUUUGACCAUGAAAUGGUUCAUUAAGAUGGACUGAACUGGAAAGUUCACCAGUUGACGAUUCGAACGGUCGGACCGGUUGGUUUGGUCCAAUUUUUAAAACAAUGCAAAUAAGAGAUACAAUAUACAAUCUUUUUCAUAAAAUGAGUUUGAAUAUACUAAAGCAUCCAAAUCUUUUCAUUUUUUUUAUUAUAUAUAUAUAUAUAUAUAUAUAUAUGUCAAAACAAUUUCAUACAAAUCAUGCAUUCAAAAUAUUUUACUUUGGUUAUUAGAUAAGAAAUGAUGCCCAGUUAAGUGAGACUAUACAAAUGGGUGGCUAACCUCAAAUUUAUUUUUUUUAAGGUGGACGAAACCAAAUACUACUAUACUAGUAACCUCUAACCAAACCCUUAAAGGUUGAGAUUCAAAGCAAUUACAUUCCCCACCAAUAAAUAUAAAGGUUAACUAUUAUAUCUCGUUGAUAAGGACAAUAAAUGUUAACUAUUAUAUCUCAUUAAUUAGGGCAAAAAAUGUCAACUAUUAUAUCUUGUUGACUAGGGUCAAACAAAUCAGAAUCAAACACUUCGUUUCAUUUAUUCAAACAUACAUAACAUAAUAUCUCUAUAUUUUUUUGUUAUAAUCAAAAGAAAAAUAUUUUAAUAUAUUUUUCAUGCAAAAUAUAUUUGAUCCAUAAAACAAAAAUAAUAUUUUACAUAUUUGAAAAUAACAUAUAAAAAGAAAGUCAUUUUCUUUUACAAAAUUCACAUUAAUUUCUCUUACCUCAAAUAUGCACUCAAAAACCUUAAAGAAAUUAAUUGUGUAGAAUCUACUCCUUACAUCACAUAAAAAAAAAAAAAAAAAAAAAAACUAUUACUAUUGACUAUUUAUCUAAAAUUUAUAAAUUAGGCAAACCUAAUAAUAUUUUAUGUUUGUAUUAGUGAUUCUAAAUAAUUUCCUAUGCUAAUAUCAUUAUCACUAAUAUUAUUUCCAACUUUCUAAACCAUAACAAUUUAAUUAAAGAAUUUCCAAAUUUCCAUAAAACAUAUGUUCUUUCCAAAAAUCUAUUGUCAAUAAUCAUUCAAUCAUUCAGCCAUACAUUUUGUUCGAUAUUUUGGGACAAGAGCAUCUAUUUUCAAUCCCAUGUGUAGCAAGAAGGGAGAGCUUUGAAUUUACUUCCAUUAUCAGAUUAUAAACAUUGUAAUCAACAAUUGAAUUGAUUUUCAGCUAAGGUUUUGAACUUAUGGAAGGUAGGCAAAACUUGAUCUUUAGUAUGUAAGGGAUAAAGCCAAGAAAACUAAGAAAAAUUAUCAAGGAAUAUUAAGAAAUAACUUGCACCAGUUGUGGAGAUAACAGUGGCAGGACCUCACAAAUCGGUGUGAACUAAAGCAAAAGGAUGAGAAGCUCUAGAUUCAGAUAAUGGAAAAGGUAAUCUCUGGCUUUAUGCAUAUUAGUAAGCACAACAAACAUUAUGUCUAUGGCAAUCAUUAGAGAUAUUACAAGAUGUAAGAAUUUGCUUCAAAGUAUUAUCAACAUGAUGACCAAGAUGGGAGUGCCAAAGUUCAGCCAAGUUAUCCAAAUUCAUAAUAGAGAAGCCAUGACUGGAAGUAAAUUAAGAGGGCUGAAGGUGCAUCAUAAUAUUUAUUGUGUUUCCAAAAAUACAUUAAUAGAUUAAAUCCAAAAUCUUUUAUUUAUUUAUUUAUUAAUAAUUUUAAGAAGGUAGCUAUGAAUUGGAUAUUUAAAAAAAAUCAUUUUACAAUAAUUAAUCCCUCUCUAAUUUAUUUUGCAUGCAAUGUGAUAUUUCAUCCUUAUUAAUCAAAAUAAAUGUCCACAAAAAUAAUCAAAUUAAAUAAUAUAAACUUCAAAUUAUCAACUAUCAAGGUGUUCAUUUUGUUAGAUUCAUUAAAUCGAGGCCAACAUGUAUUAAACGAUAAAUUUAAUUAUUUUUAUAUUUGUCCAAAUAAUUCAAAAAAUUAAUAAAAUAUUUACAAGCUAUUGCAUGGUGGUAGAACAAGAAGUUUAGGUGGACCUUAUCCCAUGGGGGACGUUGAGAAGCUACUUACAAAGAUAAGGUUCCUGAUAAACCUUAUCUCACACAUCAUUCGUGCUUAUAAUUCCUUUACUUUUCAACUUUGUGAAGAUAUUUUUUUCAUUGAAUAAGAAAAUGUUACGAUAAUAAUUUCCAACGUGUGAUAAUUGGAAAAUUCGAGAAGGAAGAACAAGGGCAUCAAUUUUUAGGCAGUAGACAAAAAUGUCAAAUUUCCACAUGUCCAAAAAUGUUGAUUCGCGACAAAACAUACGUCUCUUUUAGGUAUUAUCAGUUUGUUUGAUUUUGAAAUUUGAUUUUUUUUAUAGGGGCUUUUUGGAUACAAAAUUUUUACUUGUAGCGUUUUCUCAAGUAGAAAAUUUUUACAAGAUAACACUAAUUUUAGAUAUACUUUGCCACCAUCAUCUCUCCAAGGGAAUGUCUCAUGCACCAUUCAAACUUUAUGGUUAUAUUUAUCUUUUGAUUAAUUGUAUUGCAUGCAAUUUUGUAAAAGCCCAAUAUGAACUCAAAUUCUAUAGAAAUAUUAGUUUGUAAAGAGUUUGAAAACCAGGAAGAGAUGAUGAAUUUGCAGAAGUCAAAAGAAAAGGAUAAAUCUUCCAAACUCUAGAAGAUGGAUUGUGUGAAAAGCAAAGAGAAAAAUGUAUUAUACAAGUAAAGUCCAGAAGAUGGGCAAUUUUCCUACUCAACCUCCUCCCGAACUCUAUAAAUACUCCCCUAAUCUUCCUCAUAUAUUCAUCUCUCAAAAGUCUCUCUUCAUCUCUUUCAUAACAUUCAACUUAGUCUCUUUCUAUUGUUUCUCAUAAAAUCAAGGUUUGUACUCACUCUUAUCUAUCUAUCUAUCUAUUUAUAUGUAUAUGUUAGUGGCCUUCAAUGUACACAUCUGAGAACUAUGGAUGAAUGAUAUGACCUGAAUUUCAAAGAUGAAGGUUGAGCUUGUUUUUCCACAUUAGCCCACUUUGUCUACUCUACCCCAUUACUCCACCUGAUUUUCAUUAUCUCUCUACAUGAUCUUAAUUGUAGUCUUAACCUUUUGAUCUGUGUUUUGCAGGCAGUCGUUCAUUUGCUUUCUUUCAAAUAUACAGACAUAAUCCAUGGAGUUGAACUUAGCACCAAAGUUUGCACAAAAGAUCUUCGAAGGAGAAGGUGGAACAUAUUACCGUUGGUCAAGUGCUGAAUAUGAAUUGCUCAAGGAAGCAAAGGUUGGUGGUGGAAGGCUUGUUCUGCAGCCUCGUGGCUUCGCCCUCCCUCACUAUGCUGACUCCAACAGAAUUGGUUAUGUUCUUCAAGGUCUGUAAAUCCCCGAGCUUUUUAUGUCUUAUUCUUAAUUAGAACUCUUUUUCUAUUUCUUUUUUUUUUUUCUUUAGAGAAUUGUUAAUUAUUCCUCCCUAAAAUAUCCACCUCAAUUUUCUUUUCUUUCUCAAAAAUUAGAACAAAAAGAGUGCACACAGCCAUGGUAGUCGGCUGUGACUGGUGUGAGAGGGAGAGGGAGUCGCCAUGACAUGCAAGAAUGAAGAAGAGAAGAAAGGAACAAGACUAGAAUUGAAGAAAGAAAAGGGAUAAGAGAGAGAUGAAAGAAGUUGAGGGCUAGGGUUAUAUUUGGGAAAAGGAAAAAGAAAUUGAAAAGAGAGAGAGAGAGAGAGAGAAAGUGGGCCCUUCAAUAUUUCUCUUUUAUUUUUUUUAUGUUUCUGUCAAAAUGAUUCUCCGAUAUUACCCACUGUGCCAUCAAACCCUAUCCAGUGGCUCAUUUAUGAAAAUAUAUUUUGUCCACAUCCAGGCAGCUGUGGAGUAGUUGGAAUCGUACCACCCAAAGCAUCCCAAGAAGUGGUGUUGAGGCUCAAGAAAGGAGAUAUAAUACCAGUGCCCUCUGGAGCAGUUUCAUGGUGGUACAAUGAUGGAGACUCAGAACUAAUUAUCGUAUUCCUUGGUGAAACUUCCAAGGCUUAUGUUCCCGGAGAAUUCACAAACUUCCUACUAACCGGAACUCAAGGAAUCCUUGGAGGUUUUUCCACUGAAUUUAACUCCAGAGCCUAUGAUAUCAACAACGAAGAGGCCAAAAAGCUUGCAAAAAGCCAAUCUGGCGUCUUGAUAAUUAAGCUACCAGAGGGCCACAAAAUGCCCCACCCCUGCAAGAACAGUACUGAUAAAUUGGUGUUUAAUAUUGAUGCUGCAUUACCUGAUAUCCAUGUCCAAAAUGCUGGAUUGCUUACUGCAUUGACAGCAAAGAAGUUUCCCUUCCUUGGAGAAGUUGGGCUCAGCGCCACCCUUGUGAAGCUGGAUGCCAAUGCCAUGUCCUCACCGAUGUACGCUGGUGAUUCGUCGGUUCAAGUAAUUUAUGUUGCAAAAGGGAGUGGAAGGAUUCAAGUUGUUGGUAUCAAUGGUGAACGUGCCUUGGACGCGAAAGUGAAGGCUGGUCACUUGCUGCUUGUGCCAAGGUUCUUUGUGGCUUCUGCCAUUGCAGAUGGUGAAGGACUGGAGUACUUCUCAUUGAUAACAGCUACAGAGUAGGCAUCAAUCUAAUAAAUUGUUUUCUCUUUAAACAUCAUCGAUUGUAGGGUUAAUUACUAACUAUUUGUUAUUUGUCUUUUGUUCGUUUACAGACCUAUAUUUGGCGAAUUUACUGGGAAAACAUCAGUAUGGGGAGCAUUAUCUCCACAUGUUUUACAGGCCUCUCUCAAUGUGGCUCCAGAGUUUGAGCAGCUUUUCAGGGCAAAGAUCAAAAAGAGCACCAUUCUUGUUCCUCCACAGAACUAGAUUGAUUAAUAACCAAGGGCCCUUAUGAUGUAUUAUCAUUUGUUUUCAGGAGUUACAGGGCUAUUAAAAUACAAUAAUUGUACUCCUAAGUGUGUCUUUUAUAUGUACAUCUGUGAGAUGGAAAAUGUUGUACAACUAUUAAUUAUAUGGCAAUAAGUUGUUCCUUUGUGUGAUCAGAAAAUCUAUUGCUGCAUUGAUUUUGAAAAAUUUCAAGAAAUAGCCUAUUAGAAGCCUUAAAUUAGGUUGUGAACCUUCUUGUACUCAUUGCGAGUGCAUAUUUGUCUAUGAGAGUGAUGGGUUCAUUCCCAUCAUUUACCUAAUUGACCAAUGAAUGUUGACAAUGCUAUCAUCUCUUUGCUUCAAUCAAACUCUGUAUGUAAACUACACCAUUCAAGUCAUCAUCAAUAAAUCUCCUAAAAAUGAAAGAGAGAUUUAAAUGUGCCUACGCUUUAUGGUCUUAUACCAAUCAAAACCUACACAAUCAUUCAUGUUCUUGACACAAUAUCUCAUGCUUCUUAAUGAAUAUUUCAACUUCAUACCGAGAGUGACAAAUUAUAUGUAUCCUCUAUUUUUGUUCAAAGAAUCUUUCAAGAUUGGUCUUAAAAUUAAACUUGAGAGGUGGGGAACUAAGGCUAAAAGGAUGACUACAUUCACGUGUAUGCCCCUCAAUUCAAUGAAGUAAUUUAUUUAUUUUCAAACGGUUGAAGAUAAAUUUGGAGAGCUACAUCAUAUUGUGGACCACUAAUUUUUUCCUAACAUGGGAUAGAAUAAGAAAAGAGAUACUAUAUCUUAUCCCAUGUCUGGAUGGUGAUAGGAUAGAAUCAAUUAUAUCAUCAAUUAUCCUAUCCUAUAUUCAACCAAACAUUGGAUAUGAUAAGUGUUGAAUAUAUUAUUCCUGAGAUAUGUUAAUUUCAUACUAAGAUAUGAAAUAUGCAUAUCCCAUAUAUCAUAAAUUUAUUUUUUAUUUUUUUAUACUCAUUUUGUAAAAUAUUUUUUUAUUAUAAAUUAAAUUCAUGAUUAAAAAAUAAAAAAUAUUAAUAUAGAAUAUAUAAUAUAUAAUUUAUUUUUAUAUAUCAAAUAACAUAAUAUAAAAAUUUUAAUUUAUAAAAUUUAAAUAAUUUAAUCAUGAAUAUUGUCAAAUAUAAGAGAAACUUCAUUUUUUAAAAUAAAAAAAUUAGAAUGUGAUAUAAUUUUUAUUUUAAACAUUAAAAAUAAUACAUAUUGGUGACUUUUUAGUGAUAACAGAUGAAGAAUGGGUAGAAUUGUCAGGGUAUAGGUAGGAUAAAAAGAGGUAUGAGAUGACAAAGAGAUGGAGUGGUCAAAUGAUUGGUGAAAUGGAAACACCACUUCAUCAAAGAUGAUAUGCCGAGUUAUAUGCAUUCUGCCAGAAUUGUAAUCUAAGCAAAACUAACCUUUGUGAAUUGUGCAAAGUGAUGUUAGGCAUGCGAUUAAUAAGGAAUAUGACAGUAUGGAACGCAUAGAGCCAGAACUUCCAAGGUAAAGAAGUAGUAGCUAAGAGAGCCAAACCAGUUUCUAAUAUGUGCCUCAUCUUUUCUGUUUUGGGGUAGAAGCAUCUGUUUUCAAUCUCACAUGUAGCAAGAAAGAGGGUGAAAGCUUUGAAUUCACCUCCAUUAUCAAAUUAUAAACAUUAUAAUCGAGAAUUGAAUUGAUUUUCAACUAAGGUUUUGAACUUAACAAAGGUAGGCAAAGCUUGAUCUUUAGUAUGUAAGGGAUGAAGUGAAGAAAAAUGAGAAAAAUCAAGGAAUAAUAAGAAAUAAUUUGGACUAAUUGUGGAGAUAACGGUGUUAAGAUCUCACAAAUCAGUACAAACUAAAGCAAGAGGAUGAUAAAAAAGCUCUAGAUUCAAAUAAUGGAAAAAAUAAUCUAUGACUUUUUGCAUAUUGGCAAGCACAACAAAUAUUAUGUCAAUGAAAGUAAUUAGAGAUAUUACAAGAUAUAAGAAUCUGCUUCAAAGUACCAACAAUAGGAUGACCAAGGCGAGAACACCAAAGUUUGGCCAAGUUAUUCAAAUUCCUAGUAGAAGAGCCAUGACCGGAAGUAAGGAGGGCUAAAGGUGCAUCACAAUAUUUAUUGUGUUUCCAAAAAUACAUUAAUAGAUUAAAAAUUAAUCCAAAAAAAAAAAUCAUUUUACAAUAAUUAAUCCCUCUCUAAUUUAUUUUUCAUUACUGCGAUAUUUCAUCUUUAUUAAUCAAAAUAAAUGUCCAAAAAAAAUAUCAAAUUAAAUAAAUAUAAACUUUAAAUUAUCAACUACAAAGAACAAUCAAAUUUAAGAAUCUUUUAUGUAUCCUCUAUUUUUAUUGAAAGAAUCUUUUAAGAUUGCUUGCUUGGGUUGGGUGAGAAUAAGAAUGGGGUUUAAUAUCCUUCAUUCAAUAAUCCCAUGUCUAAUAAGAAUGGGGUUUAAUAUCCUUCCUUCCUUCGUUCAAUAAUCCCAAGUCUUAUGAUUUAUGGUUUAUUAUGUUAUUAGAAUUUUGUGGGUUGCUUGAUUAUUAUGAUUUUUAUGAUUUGUUGGGUUAUUGGGAUUUUGUGGUUUGUUUAAUUGUUAAAACUUAAUAGAAAAUAGUUUUUUUUUUUUAAUUUAAUCUUAGCGCUUUGGUGUUAGAUAGAGCACUUUUUAUUUUUAAGAAGUGUAUCCUAAUUUAAAAAAUAAAAUAAAAGUCUCACAAAUUUUUGCAUUUUAUAUAAAAAUUAUUAUUAUUAUUAUUUAUUUUUAAGAAAUGUAUCUCUUAGUCUCUCUUGGUAUGAUUUUCUUUUUCAUUUUGGUUUUGAAUUUUUGGGAACGAGCAUGUGCUAGCAUGAAUAUGGGAAAUGAUCAAUUAUAAGGGAAAUAAUGAAAUAGAGAGAUAAGGAGAUGCAUAGAAUUAAAAAUAACAAAUAAAAAAUAAAAAUAAUCAAGAAAAUGCACCAUACCAAGAUUCCGCCCUAAUCCACAUUCCCAUAAAUUAAUGACAAUCAAAUAUUAAUAAGGAUUAAAUACACUUACCUUCCUCUUCAUUGUUAGUGUAUUUCACACUUUUCCCUCUUAUAUUUUUAGGUCAAAAUUUUACUCUAAACUUGUUAAACACCAACAUUUUGCACCUAAUUGCAAACUCUUUGUAAAAUUAUAAAAGGGAUCGUUUUUUUUUUCACUAUCUCGUUCAAGCACUGAUUUAAACUUGGAUAGAAAUAACUUUGAAUUAACAACUUUCAAGUGAAAUUUCUUAAAUGCCUUUAAAAUAUAGUAGUUACUAAUUUUGAUUUUUAAUUUUAUAUAGAUGUUUGCAUGACUAGUUGUGAUUUUUAUAUGUCAUUACACAGUUUGGCAACUUCGAAUUUAAAUAAUAAAUAUUUUUUUUUUAUUACAUUUUCAACUUUGUUUCUUUACUUAACAACUUAUUCAUGAACUUUUUAAUAAGUUUAAGAGGUAAAUUGUUAUUUUUUAACAAAUCUAGGAAACAAAGUGUUGACUUUUGAAUGUGAAGGGUCAAAAUGUAAAAUAGGCCAAAGAUUAAAAGGGUAAAUUGUAUUUAACCCUAUUAAUAAUAUUUGUUUCUUUUAAUUUUAGGGUAUUCAUUAUUAUUAUUUUUAUAUAACUUACUAUAUAAAGUUUGAAAAAAAAGGGAUUUAAUACAUUCAUUAUUAAAUUAUCAAACUUUUUAGCAUGUACACUUGGGUAAAUAUAGACUCCUCUUUGUAGUUUAUAUAGGAUAAUAUUUACGUCUUCUAGUGAAUUUGAUAACAAAAGGAGUAGAAUAAUUUUAUUUUUAUUAAAAUAAGGAUAAGUGUGAUGUUUUAGAUAAUUUAAUUAAAUAAAAAUCUUCUUUCUAUAUUGCAUUUGAGGAAGAAAAAUGAUAGGUCUCUUCCAAGGAUGCCAAGAGGCCACCUCAUAAUUUAUCUUCUACAUUGUCUUUAAGGAAAACUUGAUAGGAUUAGUUAACUUAUGUCUAGGUUUGCUCAUUGUCUUUAAGGACAACUUGAUAGGAUUAGUUGACUUUGGUCGGAUAUAAUCAUGUUUCAAUCAAAUUCAUGUCCAUUUAUAUAACAUGUUUAACAAAAAAAUUACAAAUUAUUUUUUGAUCAACCUACAUAAUAUAAAUUUGAAUAGAAUUGAUCCAUUUAAUAAUUAUGUUGGUUAACCUUAUUAUAACCACAUCAUAUUUAACUUGCAUUUAACUCAUUAAAAAUUUGAUUUUAAAUAACUAGAUUAAUUGAGUAAAAAAUGUAUAAUAUUGUUUGGAGGUUAAUUUCGUCUUGAUUAUUAAAUAAGAUUUUAUUGGAAAUCUUUAGAUUAUCUUUUGAAAAAGUCUAGGAUUCAAUAUAUAAAAAAAAAGAGUUGUUUCACCGUUCAAUUCUUCACCCUAGGUCGAGAAUGGAACCAUAGUAAAAUCGGGAAUCACUUUGUUUCACAUCACAAAAAGCCUUUCACCUCUUUUCAGAUAACUUUUCUUCUAGAGUUCUCUUUGUCUUUUUUUUUCAGAGAAGAAUUAAAAGUAAGCAAGAGAGUGAGUGAGAGAGAUCUCUUUUUAUUAUUAUUAUUUAUUUAGUGGGUGGUUUCUAACUGUUCCAACUCCCACAAAUUGCUCCCCGCAAUCUCUAAUUUGGUUGGAUCGGGUUAGGUCAACCUAACUUAGACAACCACCCAACUCCAAUAGAUUUCAUUACUAAAUGGGCUACAAAACUUGGUAUCUAUUUGAUAAUUGGUUGAUAUUUGAUACUUUUAAUUCAAUUAUGGUUCGUAUCCUAUUUGAAAUGAUUUAUUUAUGACCCAUCAACAUAAAUUGUCAUCCUUACAACUUCCUCAUUUAAUUUUUUAAAAUUAUUUUUAUUUUUAUUUUAUAUUUUAGUUAUAUUAAAAGUAAAUAUAAUUUAAAAAUAAAUAAGUAUUAUUAAUUUUUAUAAUUUAUUUUGAUAAUAAUUUUUUAUAUAUGUUUCUAAUUUUUUAUUUAUGGUAUAUAUAAUCACAAUAAGGCAAUAGGUAAAUUCGCCCUAGGUUAAAAAAAAAAUUUCUAAAUGAGACCUGAACUUAUAUAUAUCUCUUUGGCCAAUAUCAUGUUUAUUUUCAUCCCUAAUUUGUCCAAGUCUAAAUAAUUUAGUUUCUUUAGGCCUAGCACUUUAAAAGUUCCAAUUGAAUUUAAAAUAUUACUUUUAGCAUUUGAAAAGCUCUAUGAAAUAAGAUUUAUAUGUCUUAUUAUUUAUAAUGCUUAAGAAAACUUUCAAAUUUAGAAAGACAUUAUUACAUCCAUCUUAGAUAUGAUUUAACAUUAUUUAGAGUGUGUUUGAAAGUGAUUUUAGAAAACGUUUUUAACAAUUAUAACACUUGAAUGAUAAAAUUUUUUAAGUAUUAAAAAUAUUAAAAGCUCUUCUUAAAAUCAUAACCAAAUUAGUUUUUACAGUAUGUUUAACACUAAUUAUAAGUUCUUUUUAACUUUAAAAGUGUUUUUGAAAAAAAAUUAGAUGUUUGACAAAAUUUUAAAAAUUACUUGUAGUAAUUUUUUAGAGAAAUACUUUAUAAGUGAUUUUCCUAAAAACUCUUUUUGAGAAAACACUUCUAUUAAAAACACUUUGAGUAGAAAUAUUGUCAAACAUACUCCUAGUAUGUUUCAAAAAAUAUAUGAAAAUAUUAGAUCCAAAAAUCUAUUUUUAACAUUAUAUUUGAUUACAACAAAAUACUAAAGGGAGAAAAAAAAAAUUAAGAAAAAUGAUUUUGUUUGAUUGUACUAUAAAAAAUAUUAAAGAAAAUCAAAUAUAAUUAAAACUAAUUUAGAAACUUAUAUAUUUUAAAAUUAUUUAAUCUUUAUAUCGAUGAGUUGAAAUAAAUAAAAUAAGUUUAAAGAAUAAAAUGAAAAUGAUUUAUUGAGUUUUACUUUACCUUUUUUUAUUUUUUUUUAUUUUUCUUUUUUUCUACUUUUUCUUACAUUUUCCUUUAAAUUUUUUUGAACCAAACAUAGCCUAAGGAAUUAUCUACAAAGUGGACAUUUUUUUAUAAUUUAAAUUCAUUCUAAAAUAAAUAUUCGUCGUUACUCAAAAUAAGUAUUGUCCACAAAAAAAAUGAUCAAAUUAAAUAAUAUAAAAUUUUAAAUUAUUUGAUACAAUUGCAACCAAGAUGUUAAGAAUAAAAUAUUUACAAGCUAUUGAAAGUCGGAGACGUGACAUGUUGGGGUGGACCAAGACUUGUUCCCGCUAGAGUUGCUGACAAUCUAUUUAUAAAGAUAACGCUUAUCUGCAACAUCAUUUCCUUAUUUUUUUUUAACAUCUAAAAUCUUAGUUGUGAAGAUAUAUAUAUAUAUAUUGUUUCAUUGACUAAGAGAUUUUUUGGGAAUAAAGAAAGAAGAAAACAUGGUAAAAAUGAAAGAGGAAAAAGAAGAAAAUAAACGAAGACGACCAGAAAUGAAGAAAGAGAAGGGAAAAGAGAGAGAAGCAGCGAGGAAAGUUCGGGGUUAGGGUUAUAUUUUGGGAAAAGGAAAGAUAAGUUUUAUUUUUAUGUUUAUUUGUUAAAAAAGAGAGUGACACACCGUGACAACGAGAGACAAAGUGGGCCCUUUAAUAAUCCUAUCUACAAAUCCAGUGGCUCAUUUAUGAAAAUACAUUUUGUCCACAUCCAGGCAGCUGUGGAGUAGUUGGAAUGGUAUUCCCUGAAGCAUCCGAAGAGGUGGUGUUGAAACUCAAGGAAGGAGAUAUAAUACCAGUGCCCUCUGGAGCAGUUUCAUGGUGGUACAAUGAUGGAGACUCAGAACUAGUUAUCGUAUUCCUUGGUGAAACUUCCAAGGCCUAUGUUCCCGGAGAAUUCACAUACUUCCUAUUAACUGGAACCCAAGGAAUCCUUGGAGGUUUUUCCACUGAAUUUAACUCCAGAGCCUAUAAUAUCAGCAACGAAGAAGCCAAAAAGCUUGCCAAAAGCCAAACUGGUGUUUUGCUUAUUAAGCUACCAGAGGGUCAAAAAAUGCCCCACCCCUGCAAGAACAGUACUGAUAAAUUGGUGUACAAUAUUGAUGCUGCAUUACCUGAUAUCCACGUCCAAAAUGCUGGGUUGCUUACUGCCUUGACAGCAAAGAAGUUUCCCUUCCUUGGAGAAGUUGGGCUCAGCGCCACCCUUGUGAAGAUGGAUGCCAAAUACGCGGCAGAUUCGUCGGUUCAAGUAAUUUAUGUUGCAAAAGGGAGUGGAAGGAUUCAAGUUGUUGGCAUCAAUGGUGAACGUGCCUUGGACACGAAAGUGAAGGCUGGCCACUUGUAUGUUGUGCCAAGGUUCUUUGUGGCCUCUACCAUUGCAGACGGUGAAGGACUGGAGUACUUCUCAUUGUUAACAGCUACACAGUAAGCAUCAAUCUAACAAAUUGUUUUCUCUUUAAACAUCAUUGAUUGUGGGGUUAAUUACUAACUAUUUGUUACAUGUCAUUUGUUUGUUUACAGACAUGUAUUUGGCUAAUUUACUGGGAAAACAUCAGUAUGGGGAGCAUUAUCUCCACAAGUUUUACAGGCCUCGCUCAAUGUGGCUCCAGAGUUUGAGCAGCUUUUCAGGGCGAAGAUAAAAAAGGGCACCAUUCUUGUUCCUCCACAGAACUAGAUUGAUUAAUAACCAAGGGCCCUUAUGAUGUAUCAUCAUUUGUUUUCAGGAGUUACAGGGCUAUCAAAAUACAAUAAUUGUACUCCUAAGUAUUUCUUUUAUAUGUGUAUCCGUGAGAUGGAAAAUGUUGUACAACUAUUAAUUAUAUGGCAAUAAAUUAGGUUAUGAACCUUAGUGUACUCAUUCUGAGUGCAUAUAUAUUUGUCUAUGAGAGUGAUGGUUUUAUUCCCAUCAUUAACCCUAAUUGACUAAUGAAAGUGGACAAUGCUAUCAUCUCUUUCCUUCAAUCAAACUGUCUAUGAGAUGUAGAUGAUCUUAUACCGAUCAAAACCUACAUAAUCAUUCAUGUUCUUGACACAAUACCUCAUGCUUCUUAAUGAAUGAAUAUUUCAACUUCAUACCGAGACUGACAAAUUUUGUAUCCUCUAUUUUUGUUGAAAGAAUCUUUCAAGAUUGCUCUUGAAAACUUGAGAGGUGGACAACUAUGACUAAAGGGACUAGUUUGCAUAUAAAUUUCAAAAGUAGUACAAUCUUCAUAUUAUGCAUGCACCGAAGCCUAAUUUGCCCAAAAAUUCAUCAACUUUAAACACAAAAGGAGAUUCACAUGUUUUAUUUUAUGUGGACUUUAAACUAUAUACCAACUUUAAGAGUACUAGCUUUGCACAAAAAGAGAUUCGCAUGUUUUAUUUUAUAUUGACUUUAGGAAACAAGAAAUGUUGACUUUUGGGGCAUGAAAUUCAUAUUAAAAGUCACCAUCGAUCUUUUUUUUUGAGUUUUUGAUAUUUAUAUAGCUUUAUUAAAAAAAUAGUAUUACAAAAUUACAAUUAUAAGAAUAUUUAGGAUUUCAAAUUUAUGACUCUUUGUGAAAUUUCAAUUGAAAGUUUUUUGUUUAAAGAGAUAACUUCACUAGGAACUUAUCUUAAAAUUUAAAAAAAGAAAAAAAGAAAAAAAAAAAGAGGAAACAAAAGAUUGGACAGCAGGAGAUUCUUAUGUUUUAUUAUUUUAUGCCACCAUUUUGUACUAAGGAAAUGAGACAAGAAAUGUUGACUUUCGGUAUGAAAUCCAUAUUAAAAAGUCACCACUGUUUAUUGGUUACCCUAAACCCAUUUUAAGGGCAUGAUAGUUAUUUCAUAUCUCAAACUUGAAGCUUCAAAGUGUAAAUGAUUCAAUCAAUCAUAUUGUAAUCCGAACGUUACUUAGUACCAAAAUGUCAACUUUAAAACUAACGCAUCAACCAAGAUACUAUUAUCCAUAUAACUCCAAACUCAAAUAAUUCAAAUAUUAAUUAAAUUCUAACAUAUUAACAAUGUCCAAAAUAAAGUUUGAACCAAAAUUCUAAUAAAGACAAUUAAUUCCCAGCCUAAACAUCACUUCUUGCCCAAAUUGAGAGUAUCUGGAAAAAAAAAAUGUUAACGAAAGAGAAUGAGCCCAAAGCCCAAUAAGAAAUAUUAAUACAAUUUUAUGGAUCAAACAUUUUUAAGUAUGAUUAUAAAUAGGAUAUAUAAAGUACUUUUUUUUUAUAAAAACUUUUGAGUUCAAAUAUGCUAAAACAUCUAAAUCUUUUCAACAUUUUUUUUUCUUCAUAUUUAUGUCAAAACAAUUGCAUAUCAAAUCUAAAUCAAACACCUUCAAUAUAUUUUUACUUUGGUCAUCAAAUAACAAAUAAUGUCCAAUUAGGUAAGACUUUACAAAUGAGUGAUUGGCCUCAAAUUUGUUCAUUUUAAGAUGGACAAAACCAAAUACUACUAAUUCUAGUAGUCUUUAACCAAAUCCCUAGAGGUUGAGAUUCAAAGUAAUUACAUUUCCACCAAGAAAUGUGAAGGUAAACUAUUAUAUCCACUUGAUAAGGGCCGAAAAUGUCAACUAUUAUAUCCCGAUGACUAGGAUAAAAUAAAUUAGAGAGUCAAACACUUUGUUUCAUUUAUUCAAACUUACAAAAGCAUAAUAUCUCCAUAUUUUUCUAUUAUAAUAAAAAAGAAAAAUGUUCUAAUAUAUAUAUCAUGCAAAAUAUGUUUGAUCUAUGUAUAAAAACAAAAAUAAUAUUUUAUACAUUUGAAAAUAACAUAUAAAAAGAAAACCAUUUUCUUUUACAAAAUCUGCAUUAAUUUUCCUUACCUUAAAGAAGCACUAAAAAACCUUGAAGAAAUUAAUUGUCAAUAAUCUACCCAUUACCUAACAUAACAAAAAAAAUAAAAAUAAUAAAAAUAACUACUGCUAUGAGCUAUUUAUCUAAAAUUUAUAAAUUGGACAAUCCAAAUAAUAUUUUAUAUUAAUAUUAGCAAUCCUAAAUAAUUUCCAAAGCUAAUAUUAUCUUCACUAAUAUUAUUUUCAACUUCCUAAUCAAUGACAAUUGAAUUAAAGAAUUUCCAAAUUUCCAUAAAAUAUAUGUUCUUUCCAAAAAUCUAUUACCAAUAAUCAUUCAAUGUCUAUAUAUUUUAAACUAAAACUCCUAAAAUUGUUUUCUUUUUUGUCUUGUAUUAAAUUAUUAUUAUUAUUAUACCAACUUUGUACUUCACCAAAUUCUCAACAUUUAUUUUAAUUUUUUUUUUCACUCACCCAUGUCGAGUUUAGUCCUCUAAACUUGACAUAUCUGAAUCUAAAAAAAAAAAUUGGAUGUUUCUCUCAUCUCCUCAUCUAAUUCCCAAGUGGCCUAUCGAAUACUGUAAUUGCUCCAUUGAACCUCUACCAACUUGGCAAUAGCAUAACCUAGUACCUUAUCUAUCACAUCUACAAUCAAAAUGGGUACUUCUUCAUCAAUCAAAUCCUUUGACAUUUGAAUAGGCUCCAACUCUACAAUAUGAGAGGGAUAAAAAACAUACUUCCUCAAAGCCGAUACAUGAAACACAUUAUGAAUCUUAAACAAUCUUGGGGACAACUCCACUCUAUAUGCCAAGGUACCUACUCUUUCCAAGAUUUCAAAUAGUCCCACAAAUCGAAGAUUAAGCUUUCUGUUUCUCUCGAAUCCCAUCGUAGACUUUAUAGGCAAAACCUUUAAGAGAACAUGAUCACCAACCUUAAACUCCAAAUCUCACAUGUGAUUAUAAACAUAACUCUUUUGUUUAUUUUGAGCUGCUUUCAAUCUUUAUUUAACCAAGUCAACCUUUUCAAUAGUUAACUGCACAAGUUCAAGCCCCAAAAGUUUCCUCUCUCUAACAUCAUUCUGAUAAAUAGGAGAUCGACAUCUCCUACCAUACAACCCCUCAAAAGGAUUCAUCCCAAUGCUAGCUUGAAAGCUAUUAUCAUAGGUAAACUUUACUAAAGGUAAUUAAUAAUCUCAAUUACCUUUCAGGUCUAUGGUAUAAGCUCUCAACAAAUCUUCUAAAACCUGAAUACCCUUUUUAAUUGACCAUCGAUUUGAGGAUGGAAAACAAUACUAAAACUCAACUUAGUAACCAGAGCUUUCUAUAAACUAUGCCAAAAUCUAGAAGCAAAAUGAGGAUUCCUAUCGAAUACUAUAGAAAUAGGUACCUUAUACAUUCUUACAAUCUCCUUGACAUAAAGAGAAGCCAAUCAGUCCAUGGAGAAACUAACUUUCAUAGGUAGAAAAUGAGUAGACCUUGUCAAUCGAUCAACAAUCACCCAAAUAAAAUUAUUAUUGCCUAAGUGGUAACCCUAUCACAUAAUCCAUGGUAAUAUGUUCACAUUUCCAUUUAGGAAUAGAAAGUGGUUGCAAAGACCUUAUUGAGCGUAUAUGCUUAGCUUUCACCUAUUGACACGCCAAACACUAAGCCAUAAAUUGUGCAAUAUCUUGCUUCAUGCCUGACCACCAAUAAUUUUACCUCAAAUAUUUGUACAUCUUCAAGCCUCCUACAUGGAUUAUAAGUUUAGGACAAUGAGCUUCCUUCAAAAACUCUCUCCUUAAGUCUCCAUCAUUUGGGAAACAAAGUCUAGUCCCAAAUCUUAAGAUUUCAUCAUAUGAUAACAUAAAGUCAAGCAUACCACUCUUCUUAACUUCCUUCAUAAGUUGGACCAAUUGCAAAUCAUUCUUUUAUAGGGUUUUAAUUCUCCUAACCAAGUCUUGUUGUAUUAUGAAAUUCACUAUAAGAGCUCUUGAGUUCCGAACUCCGAUAUGGAUUUGUAAACACCUCAAAUCCUCUAGUAACCGCCUCUAACAACUUCUAAUAGUUGCUAAGGAACCAACUAAUUUCCUGCUCAAGGCAUGAACCACAACAUUUUCUUUCUUCGGAUGAUAUUGAAUAAUGUCGUCAUAGUCCUUAAGUAACUCUAUCCAUUUCCUUUGUUUCAUGUUUAAUUCUUCUUAGGAAAACAAAUACUUCAAACUCUUAUGAUUUGUGAAUAUCUCAUAAGUUUCACCGGAAAAGAAAUGUUUUUAAAUCUUAAGUGCAAAAACACUACAACUAGCUCCAAAUCAUGAGUGGGGUAGUUUUGCUCACAAGGCUUUAACUGUCUAGAAGCAUAAGCCACAACUUUCUUAUUUUGCAUAAGAACACACCCCAAACCCUAAUGAGAGGCAUCAUUAUAUACUCACGUUCCUCUACUUCCUGAGUACACUAAAAUAUUAUCUAUAAAAACCACAACAAACUAAUCUAGAUAGGGUUUGAAUACCCUAUAAGUCCAUAAAGGCAGUAGGUGCAUUAGUUAAACCAAAAGGCAUAGUAAAAAAGUCACAAUGCCAUCUAGUUUCAAAAAACAUUCUUGGGUACAUCCUCAUUUCUAACCCUCAAUUGAUGAUAUCCAGACCAAAGAUUAAUCUAAGAGAACACACAUGCACCCUGAAGUUAAUCAAACAAAUCAUUAAUUCGAGAAAGAGAAUACUUGUUUCUCACCAUCACCUUAUUCAACUCUCUAUAAUCAAUGCAAAGUCUUAUUAAUCCAUCCUCCUUCUUCACAAAUAAAAUAGGAGUUGUUUUCACAAAUCAUGAAUCUGAGGAAGAGAAUACUUGUUUCUCACAGUCACCUUAUUUAACUCUCUAUAAUCAAUACAAAGUCUCAUUGAUAGGUCAUUCUUCUUCACAAAUAUAAUAUGAGCUCCUCAAGGUGAAACAUUGGGCCUAAUAAAACCUUUAUUUAACAACUCCCGAAGUUGAAUCUUAAACUCUUUAACUUUUAUAGGUUCCAUCCUGUGUGAGGCCUUAGAGAUAGGAUUUCUUCAUGUUACCAAAUCAAUGGUAAACUCCACAUUCCUUUAGUGGCAAGCUAGGCAAAUAAUCUAGAAAGACAAAAGGAUAAUUCCUUACAAUGGAUAUGUUCUCUAACCUUAAAUCAUUUUCAUAACUCACCACAUAUGCCAAAAAGCAUUGAUAACCCUUCCUUAUCGACCAAAUAACUAGUUUGCAAGGUUGAGAUCAUAUGCAAUGGUAUGUCCACAUGUUUCCCCUUAAAACUAAACUUGAGUUGACAAAAAAAUGUGAAACAUCACCAUUUUUCCAAAACAAUCAACAGAGGCAUGAUAGGAAGCUAAUCAAUCCAUUCCUAAAAUCACAUUAAAAUGCCAAAGGUCAAGGAGUACUAAGUUAACUAACAUCUCCCUAUAACCAAUAUAUCAUCAUAAGAUAAUCUUUAAGCAUUCUAUUGGCCACAUUAGAAUCUCCUAAAGGAGUAGCAACAUUAAUGAAAUCAAAGUCCAUGCUAGCCACUGACAUACGUAACAAACUAAUGAAAAAUAUUAAAACAAAAUAGUGCAUUGUGAUUGGAUUCACCACUAAGAAACCAAUUAGGCAAUUUAAAAUUAUGAGGAAGAAGAUGUAAGAAUUUAUACUAGAUGAAGCUAAAACUUAAACUAAUGUGUCACUCAUCUAUCCCUAAAGUAAACUAAAUCAGUUUCCCAACAAGAUCAUAAGCUAAUGCUCUGAUACCAUUUUGUCAUGCCCCAAAACCUACUCUAAGGGUGGGAUGGUCAUUUUACAUCUCAAGCUUAAAGGCUUAAAGUGCGAACGAUUCAAACAAUUAUCUUAUAACUAGAAGGUUAACAAUUACUAAAUUGUUGUUCAAAGUAGUAAAAUUAAACAUUUCUAUAAUUCUUAAAUCUCAACUUUAAAACUAACACAUCAAUCAAAGUACUAUUGUCCAAAUAUCUCCAAACUCAAAUAAUUCAAAUAAUAAUUAAAUUCUAUCAUCUAAAUAAUAUCCAAAAUAAAGUUUAAAACAAAAUCCUAAUAAAGGCAAUUUCUUAGCCUAACCAUCACUCCUCGCUUGAAUUGAGAAUACUAGAAAAAAAAUUGUCAACAAAAGGGAAUGAGUUUAAACUCAAUACGAAAUACUAAAAUAGUUUCAUAAAUCAAACAAUUUCAAUUAUGAUUACAAAUAAGAGAUACAAUAUACAAUCUUUUUCAUAAAAUGAGUUUGAAUAUACUAAAGCAUCCAAAUCUUUUCAAUUAUAUAUAUAAUUUUAUAUCAAAUCAUGCAUUCAAAAUAUUUUACUUUAGUUAUUAGAUAAGAAAUGAUGCUCAGUUAAGUGAGACUAUACAAAUGGGUGGCUAGCCUCAAAUUUAUUGUUUUUAAGGUGGAUGAAACCAAAUACUAUUGAUACUAGUAACCUCUAACCAACCCCUUAAAGGUUGAGAUUCAAAGCAAUUACAUUCCCCACCAAAAAAUAUAAAGGUUAACUAUUAUAUCUCGUUGAUAAGGACAAUAAAGGUUAACUAUCAUAUCUCAUUAAUUAGGACACAAAAUAUCAACUAUUAUAUCUUGUUGACUAGGGCCAAAUAAAUCAGAAUCAAACACUUUGUUUCAUUUAUUCAAAUAUACAUAAACAUAAUAUCUCUAUAUUUUUUUGUUAUAAUCAAAAGAAAAAUGUUUUAAUAUAUUUUUCACGCAAAAUAUAUUUGAUUCAUGCAUAGAAACAAAAAUAAUAUUUUACAUAUUUGAAAAUAACAUAUAUAAAAAAAUAAAUUUCUUUUACACAAUUCACAUUAAUUUCCCUUAUCUCAAAUAAGCACUCAAAAACCUUCAAGAAAUUAAUUGUGUAGAAUCUACUCCUUACAUUACAUAACAAAAAAAAAAAAAAAAAAACUAUUACUAUUGACUAUUUAUUUAAAAUUUAUAAAUUUGGCAAACCUAAUAAUAUUUUAUGUUUGUAUUAGUGAUCCUAAAUCAUUUCUUAUGCUAAUAUGAUUAUCACUAAUAUUAUUUUCAACUUCCUAAACCAUAACAAUUUAAUUAAAGAAUUUCCAAAUUUCCAUAAAACAUAUGUUCUUUCCAAAAAUCUAUUGUCAAUAAAUCAUUCAAUCAUUCAACCCUACAUUUUGUUUGAUAUUUUGGGACAAGAGCAUCUAUUUUCAAGCCCAUGUGUAGCAAGAAAGGAAUUUACUUCCAUUAUAAGAUUAUAAACAUUGUAAUCGACAAUUGAAAUUAUUUUCAGCUAAGGUUUUGAACUUAAGAAAGGUAGGCAAAACUUGAUCUUUAGUAUGUAAGGGAUAAAACCAAGAAAAAUAAGAAAAACUAUCAAGGAAUAUUAAGAAAUAACUUGCACCAGCUGUGGAGAUAAUAGUGGCAGGACCUCACAAAUCGGUAUGAACUAAAGCAAGAGGAUGAGAAGCUCUAGAUUCAGAAAAUUGAAAAUGUAAUCUCUGGCUUUAUGCAUAUUAGCAAGCACAACAAACCUUAUAUCUAUGGCAGUCUUUAGAGAUAUUACAAGAUGUAAGAAUUUGCUCCAAAGUAUUAUCAACACGAUGACCAAGAUGGGAGUGCCAAGGUUCACCCAAGUUAUCCAAAUUCGUAACAAUAGAGAAACCAUGACAGGAAGUAAAGAGGGCUGAAGGUGCAUCAUAAUAUUUAUUGUGUUUCCAAAAAUAAAUUAAUACAUUAAAUCCAAAAUCUUUUAUUUAUUUAUUUAUUUAUUAAUAAUUUUAAGAAGGUAGCUAUGAAUUGGAUAUUUAAAAAAAAUCAUUUUACAAUAAUUAAUCCCUCUCUAAUUUAUUUUGCAUGCAAUGUGAUAUUUCAUCCUUAUUAAUCAAAAUAAAUGUUCCCAAAAAUAAUAAAAUUAAAUAAUAUAAACUUUAAAUUAUCAACUAUCAAGGUGUUCAUUUUGUUAGAUUCAUUAAAUCGAGGCCAACAUGUAUUAAACCAUAAAUUUAAUUAUUUUUAUAUUUGUCCAAAUAAUUCAAAAAAUUAAUAAAAUAUUUACAAGCUAUUGCAUAGUGGUAGAACAUGAAGUUUUGGUGGACCUUAUCCCACGAGGGACGUUGAGAAGCUACUUACAAAGAUAAGGUUCCUGAUAAACCUUAUCUCACGCAUCAUUCGUGCUUAUAAUUCCUUUACUUUUCAACUUUGUGAAGAUAUUUUUUUCAUUGAAUAAGAAAAUGUUAUGAUAAUAAUUUCCAACGUGUGAUAAUUGGAAAAUUUGAGAAGGAAGAACAAGGGCAUCAAUUUUUAGGCAGUAGACAAAAAUGUCAAAUUUCCACAUGUCCAAAAAUGUUGAUUCGCGACAAAACAUACGUCUCUUUUAGGUAUUAUCAGUUUGUUUGAUUUUGAAAUUUGAUUUUUUUUAUAGGGGCUUUUUGGAUACAAAAUUUUUACUUGUAGCGUUUUCUCAAGUAGAAAAUUUUUACAAGAUAACACUAAUUUUAGAUAUACUUUGCCACCAUCAUCUCUCCAAGGGAACGUCUCAUGCACCAUUCAAACUUUAUGGUUAUAUUUAUCUUUUGAUUAAUUGUAUUGCAUGCAAUUUUGUCAAAGCCCAAUAUGAACUCAAAUUCUAUAGAAAUAUUAGUCUGUGAAGAGUUUGAAAACCAGGAAGAGAUGAUGAAUUUGCAGAAGUCAAAAGAAAAGGAUAAAUCUUCCAAACUCUAGAAGAUGGAUUGUGUGAAAAGCAAAGAGAAAAAUGUAUUAUACAAGUAAAGUCCAGAAGAUGGGCAAUUUUCCUACUCAACCCCUCCUGAACUCUAUAAAUACUCCCCUAAUCUUCCUCAUAUUCAUCUCUCAAAAGUCUCUCUUCAUCUCUUUCAUAACAUUCAACUUAGUCUCUUUCUAUUGUUUCUCAUAAAAUCAAGGUUUGUACUCACUCUUAUCUAUCUAUCUAUCUAUCUAUAUGUAUAUGUUAGUGGCCUUCAAUGUACACAUCUGAGAACUAUGGAUGAAUGAUAUGACCUGAAUUUCAAGAUGAGGGUUGAGCUUGUUUUUUCCACAUUAGCCCACUUUGUCUACUCUACCCCAUUACUCCACCUGAUUUUCAUUAUCUCUCUACAUGAUCUUAAUCGUAGUCUUAACCUUUUGAUCUGUGUUUUGCAGGCAGUCGUUCAUUUGCUUUCUUUCAAAUAUACAGACAUAAUCCAUGGAGUUGAACUUAGCACCAAAGUUUGCACAAAAGAUCUUCGAAGGAGAAGGUGGAACAUAUUACCGUUGGUCAAGUGCUGAAUAUGAAUUGCUCAAGGAAGCAAAGGUUGGUGGUGGAAGGCUUGUUCUGCAGCCUCGUGGCUUCGCUCUCCCUCACUAUGCUGACUCCAACAGAAUUGGUUAUGUUCUUCAAGGUCUGUAAAUCCCCGAGCUUUUUAUGUCUUAUUCUUGAUUAGAACUCUUUUUCUAUUUCUUUUUCUUUUUCUUUAGAGAAUUGUUAAUUAUUCCUCCCUAAAAUCUCUUCUCCUCAAUUUUCUUUUCUUUCUCAAAAAUUAGAACAAAAAGAGUGCACACAGCCAUGGUAGUCGGCUGUGACUGGUGUGAGAGGGAGAGGGGGUCGCCAUGACAUGCAAGAAUGAAAAAGAGAAGAAAGGAACAAGACUAGAAUUGAAGAAAGAAAAGGGAUAAGAGAGAGAUGAAAGAAGUUGAGGGCUAGGGUUAUAUUUGGGAAAAGGAAAAAGAAAUUGAAAAGAGAGAGAGAGAGAGAGAGAGAGAAAGUGGGCCCUUCAAUAUUUCUCUUUCAUUUUUUUUUUAUGUUUCUGUCAAAAUGAUUCUCCGAUAUUACCCACUGUGCCAUCAAACCCUAUCCCAGUGGCUCAUUUAUGAAAAUAUAUUUUGUCCACAUCCAGGCAGCUGUGGAGUAGUUGGAAUGGUAUCACCCAAUGCAUCCCAAGAAGUGGUGUUGAGGCUCAAGAAAGGAGAUAUAAUACCAGUGCCCUCCGGAGCAGUUUCAUGGUGGUACAAUGAUGGAGACUCAGAACUAAUUAUCGUAUUCCUUGGUGAAACUUCCAAGGCCUAUGUUCCCGGAGAAUUCACAUACUUCCUACUAACCGGAACUCAAGGAAUCCUUGGAGGUUUUUCCACUGAAUUUAACUCCAGAGCCUAUGAUAUCAACAACGAAGAAGCCAAAAAGCUUGCAAAAAGCCAAUCUGGCGUCUUGAUAAUUAAGCUACCAGAGGGCCACAAAAUGCCCCACCCCUGCAAGAACAGUACUGAUAAAUUGGUGUUUAAUAUUGAUGCUGCAUUACCUGAUAUCCAUGUCCAAAAUGCUGGAUUGCUUACUGCAUUGACAGCAAAGAAGUUUCCCUUCCUUGGAGAAGUUGGGCUCAGCGCCACCCUUGUGAAGCUGGAUGCCAAUGCCAUGUCCUCACCGAUGUACGCUGGUGAUUCGUCGGUUCAAGUAAUUUAUGUUGCAAAAGGGAGUGGAAGGAUUCAAGUUGUUGGUAUCAAUGGUGAACGUGCCUUGGACGCGAAAGUGAAGGCUGGUCACUUGCUGCUUGUGCCAAGGUUCUUUGUGGCUUCUGCCAUUGCAGAUGGUGAAGGACUGGAGUACUUCUCAUUGAUAACAGCUACAGAGUAGGCAUCAAUCUAAUAAAUUGUUUUCUCUUUAAACAUCAUCGAUUGUAGGGUUAAUUACUAACUAUUUGUUAUUUGUNNNNNNNNNNNNNNNNNNNNNNNNNNNNNNNNNNNNNNNNNNNNNNNNNNNNNNNNNNNNNNNNNNNNNNNNNNNNNNNNNNNNNNNNNNNNNNNNNNNNNNNNNNNNNNNNNNNNNNNNNNNNNNNNNNNNNNNNNNNNNNNNNNNNNNNNNNNNNNNNNNNNNNNNNNNNNNNNNNNNNNNNNNNNNNNNNNNNNNNNNNNNNNNNNNNNNNNNNNNNNNNNNNNNNNNNNNNNNNNNNNNNNNNNNNNNNNNNNNNNNNNNNNNNNNNNNNNNNNNNNNNNNNNNNNNNNNNNNNNNNNNNNNNNNNNNNNNNNNNNNNNNNNNNNNNNNNNNNNNNNNNNNNNNNNNNNNNNNNNNNNNNNNNNNNNNNNNNNNNNNNNNNNNNNNNNNNNNNNNNNNNNNNNNNNNNNNNNNNNNNNNNNNNNNNNNNNNNNNNNNNNNNNNNNNNNNNNNNNNNNNNNNNNNNNNNNNNNNNNNNNNNNNNNNNNNNNNNNNNNNNNNNNNNNNNNNNNNNNNNNNNNNNNNNNNNNNNNNNNNNNNNNNNNNNNNNNNNNNNNNNNNNNNNNNNNNNNNNNNNNNNNNNNNNNNNNNNNNNNNNNNNNNNNNNNNNNNNNNNNNNNNNNNNNNNNNNNNNNNNNNNNNNNNNNNNNNNNNNNNNNNNNNNNNNNNNNNNNNNNNNNNNNNNNNNNNNNNNNNNNNNNNNNNNNNNNNNNNNNNNNNNNNNNNNNNNNNNNNNNNNNNNNNNNNNNNNNNNNNNNNNNNNNNNNNNNNNNNNNNNNNNNNNNNNNNNNNNNNNNNNNNNNNNNNNNNNNNNNNNNNNNNNNNNNNNNNNNNNNNNNNNNNNNNNNNNNNNNNNNNNNNNNNNNNNNNNNNNNNNNNNNNNNNNNNNNNNNNNNNNNNNNNNNNNNNNNNNNNNNNNNNNNNNNNNNNNNNNNNNNNNNNNNNNNNNNNNNNNNNNNNNNNNNNNNNNNNNNNNNNNNNNNNNNNNNNNNNNNNNNNNNNNNNNNNNNNNNNNNNNNNNNNNNNNNNNNNNNNNNNNNNNNNNNNNNNNNNNNNNNNNNNNNNNNNNNNNNNNNNNNNNNNNNNNNNNNNNNNNNNNNNNNNNNNNNNNNNNNNNNNNNNNNNNNNNNNNNNNNNNNNNNNNNNNNNNNNNNNNNNNNNNNNNNNNNNNNNNNNNNNNNNNNNNNNNNNNNNNNNNNNNNNNNNNNNNNNNNNNNNNNNNNNNNNNNNNNNNNNNNNNNNNNNNNNNNNNNNNNNNNNNNNNNNNNNNNNNNNNNNNNNNNNNNNNNNNNNNNNNNNNNNNNNNNNNNNNNNNNNNNNNNNNNNNNNNNNNNNNNNNNNNNNNNNNNNNNNNNNNNNNNNNNNNNNNNNNNNNNNNNNNNNNNNNNNNNNNNNNNNNNNNNNNNNNNNNNNNNNNNNNNNNNNNNNNNNNNNNNNNNNNNNNNNNNNNNNNNNNNNNNNNNNNNNNNNNNNNNNNNNNNNNNNNNNNNNNNNNNNNNNNNNNNNNNNNNNNNNNNNNNNNNNNNNNNNNNNNNNNNNNNNNNNNNNNNNNNNNNNNNNNNNNNNNNNNNNNNNNNNNNNNNNNNNNNNNNNNNNNNNNNNNNNNNNNNNNNNNNNNNNNNNNNNNNNNNNNNNNNNNNNNNNNNNNNNNNNNNNNNNNNNNNNNNNNNNNNNNNNNNNNNNNNNNNNNNNNNNNNNNNNNNNNNNNNNNNNNNNNNNNNNNNNNNNNNNNNNNNNNNNNNNNNNNNNNNNNNNNNNNNNNNNNNNNNNNNNNNNNNNNNNNNNNNNNNNNNNNNNNNNNNNNNNNNNNNNNNNNNNNNNNNNNNNNNNNNNNNNNNNNNNNNNNNNNNNNNNNNNNNNNNNNNNNNNNNNNNNNNNNNNNNNNNNNNNNNNNNNNNNNNNNNNNNNNNNNNNNNNNNNNNNNNNNNNNNNNNNNNNNNNNNNNNNNNNNNNNNNNNNNNNNNNNNNNNNNNNNNNNNNNNNNNNNNNNNNNNNNNNNNNNNNNNNNNNNNNNNNNNNNNNNNNNNNNNNNNNNNNNNNNNNNNNNNNNNNNNNNNNNNNNNNNNNNNNNNNNNNNNNNNNNNNNNNNNNNNNNNNNNNNNNNNNNNNNNNNNNNNNNNNNNNNNNNNNNNNNNNNNNNNNNNNNNNNNNNNNNNNNNNNNNNNNNNNNNNNNNNNNNNNNNNNNNNNNNNNNNNNNNNNNNNNNNNNNNNNNNNNNNNNNNNNNNNNNNNNNNNNNNNNNNNNNNNNNNNNNNNNNNNNNNNNNNNNNNNNNNNNNNNNNNNNNNNNNNNNNNNNNNNNNNNNNNNNNNNNNNNNNNNNNNNNNNNNNNNNNNNNNNNNNNNNNNNNNNNNNNNNNNNNNNNNNNNNNNNNNNNNNNNNNNNNNNNNNNNNNNNNNNNNNNNNNNNNNNNNNNNNNNNNNNNNNNNNNNNNNNNNNNNNNNNNNNNNNNNNNNNNNNNNNNNNNNNNNNNNNNAAACACCAACAUUUUGCACCUAAUUGCAAACUCUUUGUAAAAUUAUAAAAGGGAUCGUUUUUUUUUUCACUAUCUCGUUCAAGCACUGAUUUAAACUUGGAUAGAAAUAACUUUGAAUUAACAACUUUCAAGUGAAAUUUCUUAAAUGCCUUUAAAAUAUAGUAGUUACUAAUUUUGAUUUUUAAUUUUAUAUAGAUGUUUGCAUGACUAGUUGUGAUUUUUAUAUGUCAUUACACAGUUUGGCAACUUCGAAUUUAAAUAAUAAAUAUUUUUUUUUAUUACAUUUUCAACUUUGUUUCUUUACUUAACAACUUAUUCAUGAACUUUUUAAUAAGUUUAAGAGGUAAAUUGUUAUUUUUUAACAAAUCUAGGAAACAAAGUGUUGACUUUUGAAUGUGAAGGGUCAAAAUGUAAAAUAGGCCAAAGAUUAAAAGGGUAAAUUGUAUUUAACCCUAUUAAUAAUAUUUGUUUCUUUUAAUUUUAGGGUAUUCAUUAUUAUUAUUUUUAUAUAACUUACCAUAUAAAGUUUGAAAAAAAAGGGAUUUAAUACAUUCAUUAUUAAAUUAUCAAACUUUUUAGCAUGUACACUUGGGUAAAUAUAGACUCCUCUUUGUAGUUUAUAUAGGAUAAUAUUUACGUCUUCUAGUGAAUUUGAUAACAAAAGGAGUAGAAUAAUUUUAUUUUUAUUAAAGUAAGGAUAAGUGUGAUGUUUUAGAUAAUUUAAUUAAAUAAAAAUCUUCUUUCUAUAUUGCAUUUGAGGAAGAAAAAUGAUAGGUCUCUUCCAAGGAUGCCAAGAGGCCACCUCAUAAUUUACCUUCUACAUUGUCUUUAAGGAAAACUUGAUAGGAUUAGUUAACUUAUGUCUAGGUUUGCUCAUUGUCUUUAAGGACAACUUGAUAGGAUUAGUUGACUUUGGUCGGAUAUAAUCGUGUUUCAAUCAAAUUCAUGUCCAUUUAUAUAACAUGUUUAACAAAAAAAUUACAAAUUAUUUUUUGAUCAACCUACAUAAUAUAAAUUUGAAUAGAAUUGAUCUAUUUAAUAAUUAUGUUGGUUAACCUUAUUAUAACCACAUCAUAUUUAACUUGCAUUUAACUCAUUAAAAAUUUGAUUUUAAAAAACUAGAUUAAUUGAGUAAAAAAUGUAUAAUGUUUGGAGGUUAAUUUCGUCUUGAUUAUUAAAUAAGAUUUUGUUGGAAAUCUUUAGAUUAUCUUUUGAAAAAGUGUAGGAUUCAAUAUAUAUAUAUAAAAAAAGAGUUGUUUCACCGUUCAAUUCUUCACCCUAGGUCGAGAAUGGAACCAUAGUAAAAUCGGGAAUCACUUUGUUUCACAUCACAAAAAGCCUUUGACCUCUUUUUAGAGAACUUUUCUUCUAGAGUUCUCUUUGUCUGCUUUUUUAGAGAAGAAUUAAAAGUAAGCAAGAGAGUGAGUGAGAGAGAUCUCUUUUUAUUAUUAUUAUUUAUUUAGUGGGUGGUUUCUAACAGUUCCAACUCCCACAAAUUGCUCCCCCUAAUCUCUGAUUUGGUUGGAUCGGGUUAGAUCAACCUAACUUAGACACCCACCCAACUCCAAUAGAUUUCAUUAUUAAAUGGGCUACAAAACUUGGUAUCUAUUUGAUAAUUGGUUGAUAUUUGAUACUUUUAAUUCAAUUAUGAUUCGUAUCCUAUUUGACAUGAUUUAUUUAUGACCCAUCAACAUAAAUUGUCAUCCUUACAACUUCCUCAUUUAAUUUUUUAAAAUUAUUUUAUAUUUUAGUUAUAUUAAAAGUAAAUAUAAUUUAAAAAUAAAUAAGUAUUAUUAAUUUCUAUAAUUUAUUUUGAUAAUAAUUUUUUAUAUAUGUUUCUAAUUUUUUAUUUAUGGUAUAUAUAAUCACAAUAAGGCAAUAGGUAAAUUCGCCCUAGGUUAAAAAAAAAAUUUUUUAAAUGAGACCUGAACUUAUAUAUAUCUCUUUGGCCAAUAUCAUGUUUAUUUUCAUCCCUGAUUUGUCUAAGUCUAAAUAAUUUUGUUUCUUUAGGCCUAGCACUUUAAAAGUUCCAAUUGAAUUUAAAAUAUUACUUUUAGCGUUUGAAAAGCUCUAUGAAAUAAGAUUUAUGUCUUAUUAUUUAUAAUGCUUAAGAAAACUUUCAAAUUUAGAAAGACAUUAUUACAUCUAUCUUAGAUAUAAUUUAACAUUAUUUAGAGUGUGUUUGAGAGUGAUUUUAGAAAACGUUUUUAACAAUUAUAACACUUGAAUGAUAAAAUUUUUUAAGUAUUAAAAAUAUUAAAAGUUAUUCCUAAAAUUAUAACCAAAUUAGUUUUUAGAGUAUGUUUAACAGUAAUUAUAAGAAGUUCUUUUUAACUUAAAAAGUGUUUUUGAAAAAAAAAUUAGAUGUUUGACAAAAUUUAAAAAUUUAUUUGUAGUAUUUUUUUAGAGAAAUACUUUAUAAGUGAUUCUCCUAAAAACACUUUUUGAGAAAACACUUUUAUUAAAAACACUUUGAGUAGAAAUAUUGUCAAACAUACUCCUAGUAUGUUUCAAAAAAUAUAUGAAAAUAUUAGAUCCAAAAAUCUAUUUUUAACAUUUUUUUUAUUACAACAAAAUACUAAAGGGAGAAAAAAAUAUUAAGAAAAAUGAUUUUGUUUGAUUGUACUAUAAAAAAUAUUAAAGAAAAUCAAAUAUAAUUAAAGCUAAUUUAGAAACUUAUAUAUUUUAAAAUUAUUUAAUCUUUAUAUCGAUGAGUUGAAAUAAGUAAAAUAAGUUUAAAGAAUUGAAUGAAAAUAAUUUAUUGAGUUUUAAUUUACCUUUUUUAUUUUUCUUUAUUUUUUCUACUUUUUCUUACAUUUUCCUUUAAAUUUUUUGGAACCAAACAUAGCAUAAGGAAUUAUCUACGAAGUGGACAUUUUUUUUUAAUUUAAAUUCAUUCUAAAAUAAAUAUUCGUCGUUACUCAAAAUAAGUAUUGUCCACAAAAAAAUGAUCAAAUUAAAUAAUAUAAAAUUUUAAAUUAUUUGAUACAAUUGCAACCAAGAUGUUAAGAAUAAAAUAUUUACAAGCUAUUGAAAGUUGGAGACGUGACAUGUUGGGGUGGACCAAGACUUGUUCCCGCUAGAGUUGCUGACAAUCUAUUUAUAAAGAUAACGCUUAUCUGCAACAUCAUUUCCUUAUUUUUUUUUAACAUCUAAAAUCUUAGUUGUGAAGAUAUAUAUAUAUAUAUAUAUAUAUAUAUAUAUUUUGUUUCAUUGACUAAGAGAUUUUUUGGGAAUAAAGAAAGAAGAAAACAUGGUAAAAAUGAAAGAAGAAAAAGAAGAGAAUAAACGAAGAGGACCGGAAAUGAAGAAAGAGAAGGGAAAAGAGAGAGAAGCAGCGAGGAAAGUUCGGGGUUAGGGUUAUAUUUUGGGAAAAGGAAAGAUAAGUUUUAUUUUUAUGUUUAUUUGUUAAAAAAGAGAGUGACACACCGUGACAACGAGAGACAAAGUGGGCCCUUUAAUAAUCCUAUCUACAAAUCCAGUGGCUCAUUUAUGAAAAUACAUUUUGUCCACAUCCAGGCAGCUGUGGAGUAGUUGGAAUGGUAUUCCCUGAAGCAUCCGAAGAGGUGGUGUUGAAACUCAAGGAAGGAGAUAUAAUACCAGUGCCCUCUGGAGCAGUUUCAUGGUGGUACAAUGAUGGAGACUCAGAACUAGUUAUCGUAUUCCUUGGUGAAACUUCCAAGGCCCAUGUUNNNNNNNNNNNNNNNNNNNNNNNNNNNNNNNNNNNNNNNNNNNNNNNNNNNNNNNNNNNNNNNNNNNNNNNNNNNNNNNNNNNNNNNNNNNNNNNNNNNNNNNNNNNNNNNNNNNNNNNNNNNNNNNNNNNNNNNNNNNNNNNNNNNNNNNNNNNNNNNNNNNNNNNNNNNNNNNNNNNNNNNNNNNNNNNNNNNNNNNNNNNNNNNNNNNNNNNNNNNNNNNNNNNNNNNNNNNNNNNNNNNNNNNNNNNNNNNNNNNNNNNNNNNNNNNNNNNNNNNNNNNNNNNNNNNNNNNNNNNNNNNNNNNNNNNNNNNNNNNNNNNNNNNNNNNNNNNNNNNNNNNNNNNNNNNNNNNNNAGUACUUCUCAUUGUUAACAGCUACACAGUAAGCAUCAAUCUAACAAAUUGUUUUCUCUUUAAACAUCAUUGAUUGUGGGGUAAAUUACUAACUAUUUGUUACAUGUCAUUUGUUUGUUUACAGACAUGUAUUUGGCUAAUUUACUGGGAAAACAUCAGUAUGGGGAGCAUUAUCUCCACAAGUUUUACAGGCCUCGCUCAAUGUGGCUCCAGAGUUUGAGCAGCUUUUCAGGGCGAAGAUAAAAAAGGGCACCAUUCUUGUUCCUCCACAGAACUAGAUUGAUUAAUAACCAAGGGCCCUUAUGAUGUAUCAUCAUUUGUUUUCAGGAGUUACAGGGCUAUCAAAAUACAAUAAUUGUACUCCUAAGUAUUUCUUUUAUAUGUGUAUCCGUGAGAUGGAAAAUGUUGUACAACUAUUAAUUAUAUGGCAAUAAAUUAGGUUAUGAACCUUAGUGUACUCAUUCUGAGUGCAUAUAUAUUUGUCUAUGAGAGUGAUGGUUUUAUUCCCAUCAUUAACCUAAUUGACUAAUGAAAGUGGACAAUGCUAUCAUCUCUUUCCUUCAAUCAAACUGUCUAUGAGAUGUAGAUGAUCUUAUACCGAUCAAAACCUACAUAAUCAUUCAUGUUCUUGACACAAUACCUCAUGCUUCUUAAUGAAUGAAUAUUUCAACUUCAUACCGAGACUGACAAAUUAUGUAUCCUCUAUUUUUGUUGAAAGAAUCUUUCAAGAUUGCUCUUGAAAGCUUGAGAGGUGGACAACUAUGACUAAAAGGAUGACUAUUUCUUGUGUAUGCUCCUCAAUUCAUUAAAGUAAUUUGUUUAUUUUCAAAUGCUGGAAGAUAAAUUUGGAGAGCUACAUCAAAAUUGUAGACCACUAAUUUUUUCCCACCAAUAUGGCAUGAGCCCAUUUUUAUGCCUUUAUUGAAUCGGGCAUUACACUUUGGCAGCAUUCUAAAGUCAUCUUUCUAUUAUCCUUUUAUCUUAAUCUCAUUUAUGACUUCAAUCCCGUCUCCAAUCUUAUAUAUUUUGUAGAUUGAUGCACACAUAUAUGACGCAUGGAUUCUGAUACACGUACUUUCUUAUUAAUUUUAUCUUUUAUUUUUUAAUUUUAAUUUUUAAAUUUCAAUUUUUAAUUUUUCAAUUUUGAUUUUAAGCUUUCACUUUCAAUUUUUAAUUUUUGAUUUUAAGCUUUAACUUUCAAUUUUUAAUUUUUAUUCUUAAAUUUUAACUUUGAGCUAAGUUUUGGGGCAAAAUAGCCCUUUUAUAGAAAAAAAAAAAAUAUGGUUUAACUCAUUUGUAAAAUUUAUGUUCAAACUAAUCAUUUUAUUGCCACGUAGGAGUCAUAUUAUAAAAAAUAUUUUUUUAAAAAAAAAUAAGUUGAAACCUCAAUUGUCAAUUGAUGCUUUAUUUUUUUUAAUUAAAAUUGCAAUUAACAAUUGAUGAGUCAUUUUUGAAUUGAAACCUCAGUUGUUGAUUAAGGCUUCAUUUUUUAACUGAAACCACAAUUGAUAAUUAAAACUUUAUUUUUUGAUAAAGAGUGAGAAUGAGAUGGAGAGAAGGGGGGAAAGGUGGGGGAAAGUAAAGUAGAUUAAAAGAAUAUAUAUAUAUAUAUAUAUAUAUAUAUAUAUAUAUAUAUAUAUAUAUAUAUAUAUAUAUAUAAGGUUGACGUGAAUCUAGAGGGACUAUUAUCCAUAUAACUCCAAACUCAAAUAAUUCAAAUAUUAAUUAAAUUCUAACAUAUUAACACUAUCCAAAAUAAAGUUUGAACCAAAAUCCUAAUAAAGACAAUUAAUUCCCAGCCUAAACAUCACUUCUUGCCCAAAUUGAGAGUAUCUGGAAAAAAAAAAAUUGUUAACGAAAGAGAAUGAGCCCAAAGCCCAAUAAGAAAUAUUAAUACAAUUUUAUGGAUCAAACAUUUUCAAGUAUGAUUAUAAAUAGGAUAUAUAAAGUACUUUUUUUUUAUAAAAACUUUUGAGUUCAAAUAUGCUAAAACAUCUAAAUCUUUUCAACAUUUUUUUUUCAUAUUUAUGUCAAAAUAAUUGCAUAUCAAAUCCAAAUCAAACACCUUCAAUAUAUUUUUACUUUGGUCAUCAAAUAACAAAUAAUGUCCAAUUAGGUAAGACUUUACAAAUGAGUGAUUGACCUCAAAUUUGUUCCUUUUAAGAUGGACAAAACCAAACACUACUAAUUCUAGUAGUCUUUAACCAAAUCCCUAGAGGUUGAGAUUCAAAGUAAUACAUUUCCAUCAAGAAAUGUGAAGGUAAACUAUUAUAUCCAGUUGAUAAGGGCCGAAAAUGUCAACUAUUAUAUCCCGAUGACUAAGAUAAAAUAAAUUAGAGAGUCAAGCACUUUGUUUCAUUUAUUCAAACUUACAAAAGCAUAAUAUCUCCAUAUUUUUCUAUUAUAAUAAAAAAGAAAAAUGUUCUAAUAUAUAUAUCAUGCAAAAUAUGUUUGAUCCAUGUAUAAAAACAAAAAUAAUAUUUUAUACAUUUGAAAAUAACAUAUAAAAAGAAAACCAUUUUCUUUUACAAAAUCUGCAUUAAUUUUCCUUACAUUAAAGAAGCACUAAAAAACCUUGAAGAAAUUAAUCAUUAAUAAUCUACCCAUUACCUAACAUAACAAAAAAAAUAAAAAAAUAAAAAAACUACUACUAUGAGCUAUUUAUCUAAAAUUUUUAAAUUAGACAAUCCAAAUAAUAUUUUAUAUUAAUAUUAGCAAUCCUAAAUAAUUUCCAAAGCUAAUAUUAUCUUCACUAAUAUUAUUUUCAACUUCCUAAUCAAUGACAAUUUAAUUAAAGAAUUUCCAAAUUUCCAUAAAAUAUAUGUUCUUUCCAAAAAUCUAUUACCAAUAAUCACUCAAUGUCUAUAUAUUUUAAACUAAAACUGUGAUGUCCCACAUCGGAUAGGGGAGGAAGUUCCUGGCGCUAUAUAUGUAGAGGCUCCUCUUAACCAAGUAGACGCGUUUUAAAGCCGUGAGGGCCCAUUUCGGCCCAAAGCGGAUAAUAUCUACAUGGUUGGGUGCGGGUCGUUACAAAUUUGUGAUGUCCCACAUCGGAUAGGGGAGGAAGUUCCUGGCGCUAUAUAUGUAGAGGCUCCUCUUAACCAAGAAAACGCGUUUUAAAGCUGUGAGGGCCCCCUUGGGCCCAAAGCGGACAAUAUCUACAUGGUUGGGUGUGGGUCGUUACAAAUGGUAUCAGAGCCGAUCCCCGACCCCGGUGUGGGAGUUUGUUUGGCUUUGUCUGUUUGACCCCGCAAUCCCAUGGGACACAACGAGGACGUUGUGUCUGCAUGGGGGGGUAUUUGUGAUGUCUCACAUCGGAUAGGGGAGGAAGUUCCUGGCGCUAUAUAUGUAGAGGCUCCUCUUAACCAAGUAGACGCGUUUUAAAGCCGUGAGGGCCCAUUUCGGCCCAAAGCGGAUAAUAUCUACAUGGUUGGGUGCGGGUCGUUACAAAAACUCCUAAAAUUGUUUUCUUUUUUGUCUUGUAUUAAAUUAUUAUUAUUAUUAUUAUUAUUAUACCAACUUUGUACUUUACCAAAUUCUCAACAUUUAUUUUAUUUUAUUUUUUUCACUCGCCCAUGUCGAGUUUAGUCCUCUAAACUUGACAUAUCUGAAUCUAAAAAAAAAAAAAAAGAAAGUGGAUGUUUCUCUCAUCUCCUCAUCUAAUUCCCAAGUGGCCUAUCGAAUACUGUAAUUGCUCCAUUGAACCUCUACCAACUUGGCAAUAGCAUAACUUAGUACCUUAUCUAUCACAUCUACAAUCAAAAUGGGUACUUCUUCAUCAAUCAAAUCCUUUGACAUUUGAAUAGGCUCCAACUCUACAACAUGAGAGGGAUAAAAAACAUACUUCCUCAAAGCCGAUACAUGAAACACAUUAUGAAUCUUAAACAAUCUUGGGGACAACUCCACUCUAUAUGCCAAGGUACCUACUCUUUCCAAGAUUUCAAAUAGUCCCACAAAUCGAGGAUUAAGCUUUCUGUUUCUCUCGAAUCCCAUCGUAGACUUUGUAGGCAAAACCUUUAAGAGAACAUUAUCACCAACCUUAAACUCCAAAUCUCACAUGUGAUUAUAAACAUAACUCUUUUGUUUAUUUUGAGCUGCUUUCAAUCUUUAUUUAACCAAGUCAACCUUUUCAAUAGUUAACUGCACAAGUUCAAGCCUUAAAAGUUUCCUCUCUCUAACAUCAUCAUAAUAAAUAGGAGAUCGACAUCUCCUACCAUACAACCCCUCAAAAGGAGUCAUCCCAAUGCUAGCUUGAAAGCUAUUAUCAUAGGUAAACUUUACUAAAGGUAAUUAAUCAUCUCAAUUACCUUUUAGGUCUAUGGUAUAAGCUCUCAACAAAUCUUCUAAAACCUGAAUACCCACUUUAAUUGACCAUCGAUUUGAGGAUGGGAAACAAUACUAAAACUCAACUUAGUAACCAGAGCUUUCUAUAAACUAUGCCAAAAUCUAGAAGCAAAAUGAGGAUUCCUAUCGAAUACUAUAGAAAUAGGUACCCUAUACAUUCUUACAAUCUCCUUGAUAUAAAGAGAAGCCAAUCAGUCCAUGGAGAAACUAACUUUCAUAGGUAGAAAAUGAGUAGACUUUGUCAAUCGAUCAACAAUCACCCAAAUAAAAUUAUUAUUGCCUAAGUGGUAACCCUAUCACAUAAUCCAUGGUAAUAUGUUCACAUUUCCAUUUAGGAAUAGAAAGUGGUUGCAAAGACCUUAUUGAGCGUACAUGCUUAGCUUUCACCUAUUGACACGCCAAACACUAAGCCACAAAUUGUGCAAUACCUUGCUUCAUGCCUGACCACCAAUAAUUUUACCUUAAAUAUUUGUACAUCUUCGAGCCUCCUACAUGGAUUAUAAGUCUAGGACAAUGAGCUUCCUUCAAAAACUCUCUCUUAAGUCUCCAUCAUUUGGGAAACAGUCUAGUCCCAAAUCUUAAGAUUUCAUCAUAUGAUAACAUAAAGUCAAGCUUACCACUCUUCUUAACUUCCUUCAUAAGUUGGACCAAUUGCAAAUCAUUCUUUUAUAGGGUUUUAAUUCUCUUAACCAAGUCUUGUUGUACUAUGAAAUUCACUAUAAGAGCUUCUGAGUUCCGAACUCCGAUAUGGAUUUGUAAACACCUCAAAUCCUCUAGUAACCACCUCUAACAACUUCUAAUAGUUUAUAAGGAACCAAUUAAUUUCCUGCUCAAGGCAUGAACCACAACAUUUUCUUUCUUCGGAUGAUAUUGAAUAAUGUCGUCAUAGUCCUUAAGUAACUCUAUCCAAUUCCUUUGUUUCAUGUUUAAUUCUUCUUAAGAAAACAAAUACUUCAAACUCUUAUGAUUUGUGAAUAUCUCACAAGUUUCACCGGAAAAUAAAUGUUUUUAAAUCUUAAGUGCAAAAACACUACAACUAGCUCCAAAUCAUGAGUGGGGUAGUUUUGCUCACAAGGCUUUAACUGUCUAGAAGCAUAAGCCACAACUUUCUUAUUUUGCAUAAGAACACACCCCAAACCCUAAUGAGAGGCAUCAUUAUACACUCACGUUCCUCUACUUCUUGAGUACACUAAAAUAUUAUCUAUAAAAACCACAACAAACUAAUCUAGAUAGGGUUUGAAUACCCUAUAAGUCCAUAAAGGCAGAAGGUGCAUUAGUUAAACCAAAAGGCAUAGUAAAAAAACUCAUAAUGCCAUCUAGUUUCAAAAAACAUUCUUGGGUACAUCCUCAUUUCUAACCCUCAAUUGAUGAUAUCCAAACCAAAGAUCAAUCUUAGAGAACACACAUUUACCCUGAAGUUAAUCAAACAAAUCAUUAAUUCGAGAAAGAGAAUACUUGUUUCUCACCAUCACCUUAUUCAACUCUCUAUAAUCAAUGCAAAGUCUUAUUAAUCCAUCCUCCUUCUUCACAAAUAAAAUAAGAGUUGUCUUCACAAAUCAUGAAUCUGAGGAAGAGAAUACUUGCUUCUCACAGUCACCUUAUUUAACUCUCUAUAAUCAAUGCAAAGUCUCAUUGAUAGGUCAUUCUUCUUCACAAAUAGAAUAUGAGCUCCUCAAGGUGAAACAUUGGGCCUAAUAAAACCUUUAUUUAACAACUCCCGAAGUUGAAUCUUAAACUCUUUAACUUCUAUAGGUUCCAUCCUGUGUGAGGCCUUAGAGAUAGGAGUUCUUCAUGUUACCAAAUCAAUGGUUAACUCCACCUUCCUUUAGUGGCAAGCUAGGCAAAUAAUCUAGAAAGACAAAAGGAUAAUUCCUUACAAUGGAUAUGUUCUCUAACCUUAAAUCAUUUUCAUCACUCACCACAUAUGCCAAAAAGCAUUGAUAACCCUUCCUUAUCGAGCAAAUAACUAGUUUGCAAGGUUGAGAUCAUAUGCAAUGGUAUGUCCACAUGUUUCCCCUCAAAACUAAACUUGAGUUGACAAAAAAUGUGAAACAUCACCAUUUUUCCAAAACAAUCAACAGAGGCAUGAUAGGAAGCUAAUCAAUCCAUUCCUAAAAUCACAUUAAAAUGUCAAAGGUCAAGGAGUACUAAGUUAACUAACAUCUCCCUAUAACCAAUAUAUCAUCAUAAGAUAAUAUUUAAGCAUUCUAUUGGCCACAUCAGAAUCUCCUAAAGGAGUAGCAACAUUAAUCAAAUCAAAGUCCAUGCUAGCCACUGACAUACGUAACAAACUAAUGAAAAAUAUUAAAACAAAAUAGUGCAUUGUGAUUGGAUUCACCACUAAGAAACCAAUUAGGCAAUUUAAAAUUAUGAGGAAGAAUAUGUAAGAAUUUAUACUAGAUGAAGCUAAAACUUAAACUAAUGUGUCACUCAUCUAUCCUUAAAGUAAACUAAAUCAGUUUCCCAACAAGAUCAUAAGCUAAUGCUUUGAUACCAUUUUGUCAUGCCCCAAAACCUACUCUAAGGGUGGGAUGGUCAUUUUACAUCUCAAGCUUAAAGGCUUAAAGUGCGAACGAUUCAAACAAUUAUCUUAUAACUAGAAGGUUAACAAUUACUAAAUUCUUGUUCAAAGUAGUAAAAUAAAACAUUUCUAUAAUUCUUAAAUCUCAACUUUAAAACUAACGCAUCAAUCAAAGUACUAUUGUCCAAAUAUCUCCAAACUCAAAUAAUUCAAAUAAUAAUUAAAUUCUAUCAUCUAAAUAAUAUCCAAAAUAAAGUUUAAAAUAAAAUCCUAAUAAAGGCAAUUUCUUAGCCUAACCAUCACUCCUCACUUGAAUUGAGAAUACUAGAAAAAAAAUUGUCAAUGAAAGGGAAUGAGCUUAAAACCCAAUACGAAAUACUAAAAUAGUUUCAUAAAUCAAACAAUUUCAAUUAUGAUUACAAAUAAGAGAUACAAUAUACAAUCUUUUUCAUAAAAUGAAUUUGAAUAUACUAAAGCAUCCAAAUCUUUUCAAUUAUAUAUAUAAUUUUAUAUCAAAUCAUGCAUUCAAAAUAUUUUACUUUAGUUAUUAGAUAAGAAAUUAUGCUCAGUUAAGUGAGACUAUACAAAUGGGUGGCUAGCCUCAAAUUUAUUGUUUUUAAGGUGGAUGAAACCAAAUACUAUUGAUACUAGUAACCUCUAACCAAACCCUUAAAGGUUGAGAUUCAAAGCAAUUACAUUCCCCACCAAAAAUAUAAAGGUUAACUAUUAUAUCUCGUUGAUAAGGACAAUAAAGGUUAACUAUUAUAUCUCAUUAAUUAGGGCACAAAAUGUCAACUAUUAUAUCUUGUUUACUAGGGCCAAACAAAUCAAACACUUUGUUUCAUUUAUUCAAAUAUACAUAAACAUAAUAUCUCUAUAUUUUUUUGUUAUAAUCAAAAGAAAAAUGUUUUAAUAUAUUUUUCAUGCAAAAUAUAUUUGAUUCAUGCAUAGAAACAAAAAUAAUAUUUUACAUAUUUGAAAAUAACAUAUAUAAAAAAAUAAUAUUCUUUUACAAAAUUCACAUUAAUUUCCCUUACCUCAAAUAAGCACUCAAAAACCUUCAAGAAAUUAAUUGUGUAGAAUCUACUCCUUACAUUACAUAACAAAAAAAAAAAAAAAACUAUUACUAUUGACUAUUUAUUUAAAAUUUAUAAAUUUGGCAAACCUAAUAAUAUUUUAUGUUUAUAUUAGUGAUCCUAAAUCAUUUCUUAUGCUAAUAUGAUUAUCACUAAUAUUAUUUUCAACUUCCUAAACCAUAACAAUUUAAUUAAAGAAUUUCCAAAUUUCCAUAAAACAUAUGUUCUUUCCAAAAAUCUAUUGUCAAUAAAUCAUUCAAUCGUUCAACCCUACAUUUUGUUUGAUAUUUUGGGACAAGAGCAUCUAUUUUCAAGCCCAUGUGUAGCAAGAAAGGAAUUUGCUUCCAUUAUCAGAUUAUAAACAUUGUAAUCGACAAUUGAAAUUAUUUUCAGCUAAGGUUUUGAACUUAAGAAAGGUAGGCAAAACUUGAUCUUUAGUAUGUAAGGGAUAAAGCCAAGAAAACUAAGAAAAACUAUCAAGGAAUAUUAAGAAAUAACUUGCACUAGCUGUGGAGAUAAUAGUGGCAGGACCUCACAAAUCGGUAUGAACUAAAGCAAGAGGAUGAGAAGCUCUAGAUUCAGAAAAUGGAAAAUGUAAUCUCCGGCUUUAUGCAUAUUAGCAAGCACAACAAACCUUAUAUCUAUGACAGUCUUUAGAGAUAUUACAAGAUGUAAGAAUUUGCUUCAAAGUAUUAUCAACACCAUGACCAAGAUGGGAGUGCCAAGGUUCACCCAAGUUAUCCAAAUUCGUAACAAUAGAGAAACCAUGACAGGAAGUAAAGAGGGCUGAAGGUGCAUCAUAAUAUUUAUCGUGUUUCCAAAAAUAAAUUAAUACAUUAAUUCCAAAAUCUUUUAUUUAUUUAUUUAUUAAUAAUUUUAAGAAGGUAGUUAUGAAUUGGAUAUUUUUAAAAAAUCAUUUUACAAUAAUUAAUCCCUCUCUAAUUUAUUUUGCAUGCAAUGUGAUAUUUCAUCCUUAUUAAUCAAAAUAAAUGUUCCCAAAAAUAAUAAAAUUAAAUAAUAUAAACUUUAAAUUAUCAACUAUCAAGGUGUUCAUUUUGUUAGAUUCAUUAAAUCGAGGCCAACAUGUAUUAAACCAUAAAUUUAAUUAUUUUUAUAUUUGUCCAAAUAAUUCAAAAAAUUAAUAAAAUAUUUACAAGCUAUUGCAUGGCGGUAGAACAUGAAGUUUUGGUGGACCUUAUCCCACGAGGGACGUUGAGAAGCUACUUACAAAGAUAAGGUUCCUGAUAAACCUUAUCUCACGCAUCAUUCGUGCUUAUAAUUAAUUCCUUUACUUUUCAACUUUGUGAAGAUAUUUUUUUCAUUGAAUAAGAAAAUGUUACGAUAAUAAUUUCCAACGUGUGAUAAUUGGAAAAUUCGAGAAGGAAGAACAAGGGCAUCAAUUUUUAGGCAGUAGACAAAAAUGUCAAAUUUCCACAUGUCCAAAAAUGUUGAUUCGCGACAAAACAUACUUCUCUUUUAGGUAUUAUCAGUUUGUUUGAUUUUGAAAUUAGAUUUUUUUUAUAGGGGCUUUUUGGAUACAAAAUUUUUACUUGUAGCGUUUUCUCAAGUAGAAAAUUUUUACAAGAUAACACUAAUUUUAGAUAUACUUUGCCACCAUCAUCUCUCCAAGGGAACGUCUCAUGCACCAUUCAAACUUUAUGGUUAUAUUUAUCUUUUGAUUAAUUGUAUUGCAUGCACUUUUGUCAAAGCCCAAUAUGAACUCAAAUUCUAUAGAAAUAUUAGUCUGUGAAGAGUUUGAAAACCAGGAAGAGAUGAUGAAUUUGCAGAAGUCAAAAGAAAAGGAUAAAUCUUCCAAACUCUAGAAGAUGGAUUGUGUGAAAAGCAAAGAGAAAAAUGUAUUAUACAAGUAAAGUCCAGAAGAUGGGCAAUUUUCCUACUCAACCUCCUCCUGAACUCUAUAAAUACUCCCCUAAUCUUCCUCAUAUUCAUCUCUCAAAAGUCUCUCUUCAUCUCUUUCAUAACAUUCAACUUAGUCUCUUUCUAUUGUUUCUCAUAAAAUCAAGGUUUGUACUCACUCUUAUCUAUCUAUCUAUAUGUAUAUGUUAGUGGCCUUCAAAGUACACAUCUGAGAACUAUGGAUGAAUGAUAUGACCUGAAUUUCAAGAUGACGGUUGAGCUUGUUUUUUCCACAUUAGCCCACUUUGUCUACUCUACCCCAUUACUCCACCUGAUUUUCAUUAUCUCUCUACAUGAUCUUAAUCGUAGUCUUAACCUUUUGAUCUGUGUUUUGCAGGCAGUCGUUCAUUUGCUUUCUUUCAAAUAUACAGACAUAAUCCAUGGAGUUGAACUUAGCACCAAAGUUUGCACAAAAGAUCUUCGAAGGAGAAGGUGGAACAUAUUACCGUUGGUCAAGUGCUGAAUAUGAAUUGCUCAAGGAAGCAAAGGUUGGUGGUGGAAGGCUUGUUCUGCAGCCUCGUGGCUUCGCUCUCCCUCACUAUGCUGACUCCAACAGAAUUGGUUAUGUUCUUCAAGGUCUGUAAAUCCCCGAGCUUUUUAUGUCUUAUUCUUGAUUAGAACUCUUUUUCUAUUUCUUUUUCUUUUUCUUUAGAGAAUUGUUAAUUAUUCCUCCCUAAAAUCUCUUCUCCUCAAUUUUCUUUUCUUUCUCAAAAAUUAGAACAAAAAGAGUGCACACAGCCAUGGUAGUCGGCUGUGACUGGUGUGAGAGGAGAGGGGUCGCCAUGACAUGCNNNNNNNNNNNNNNNNNNNNNNNNNNNNNNNNNNNNNNNNNNNNNNNNNNNNNNNNNNNNNNNNNNNNNNNNNNNNNNNNNNNNNNNNNNNNNNNNNNNNGAGAGAUGAAAGAAGUUGAGGGCUAGGGUUAUAUUUGGGAAAAGGAAAAGAAAUUGAAAGAGAGAGAGAGAGAGAGAGAGAGAAAGUGGGCCUUCAAUAUUUCUCUUUCAUUUUUUUUUUAUGUUUCUGUCAAAAUGAUUCUCCGAUAUUACCCACUGUGCCAUCAAACCCUAUCCCAGUGGCUCAUUUAUGAAAAUAUAUUUUGUCCACAUCCAGGCAGCUGUGGAGUAGUUGGAAUGGUAUCACCCAAUGCAUCCCAAGAAGUGGUGUUGAGGCUCAAGAAAGGAGAUAUAAUACCAGUGCCCUCCGGAGCAGUUUCAUGGUGGUACAAUGAUGGAGACUCAGAACUAAUUAUCGUAUUCCUUGGUGAAACUUCCAAGGCCUAUGUUCCCGGAGAAUUCACAUACUUCCUACUAACCGGAACUCAAGGAAUCCUUGGAGGUUUUUCCACUGAAUUUAACUCCAGAGCCUAUGAUAUCAACAACGAAGAAGCCAAAAAGCUUGCAAAAAGCCAAUCUGGCCUCUUGCUAAUUAAGCUACCAGAGGGCCACAAAAUGCCCCACCCCUGCAAGAACAGUCCUGAUAAAUUGGUGUUUAAUAUUGAUGCUGCAUUACCUGAUAUCCAUGUCCAAAAUGCUGGAUUGCUUACUGCAUUGACAGCAAAGAAGUUUCCCUUCCUUGGAGAAGUUGGGCUCAGCGCCACCCUUGUGAAGCUGGAUGCCAAUGCCAUGUCCUCACCGGUAUACGCGGCAGAUUCGUCGGUUCAAGUAAUUUAUGUUGCAAAAGGGAGUGGAAGGAUUCAAGUUGUUGGCAUCAAUGGUGAACGUGCCUUGGACACGAAAGUGAAGGCUGGUCACUUGUUUGUUGUGCCAAGGUUCUUUGUGGCUGCUGCCAUUGCAGAUGGUGAAGGAAUGGAGUACUUCUCAAUGAUAACAACUACACAGUAAGCAUCAAUUCAAUAACUUGUUUUCUCAUUACACAUCAUUGAUUGUAGGGUUAAUUACUAACUAUUUGUUAUUUGUCUUUUGUUUGUUUACAGACCUGUAUUUGGCGAAUUUACUGGGAAAACAUCAGUAUGGGGAGCAUUAUCUCCACAAGUUUUACAGGCCUCUCUCAAUGUGGGUCCAGAGUUUGAGCAGCUUUUCAGGGCAAAGAUCAAAAAGAGCACCAUUCUUGUUCCUCCACAGAACUAGAUUGAUUAAUUACCAAGGGCCCUUACGAAGUAUUAUCAUUUGUUUUCAGGAGUUACAGGGCUAUUAAAAUACAAUAAUUGUACUCCUAAGUGUGUCUUUUAUAUGUACAUCUGUGAGAUGGAAAAUGUUGUACUACUAUUAAUUAUAUGGCAAUAAGUUGUUCCUUUGUGUGAUCAGAAAAUCUAUUGCUGCAUUGAUUUUGAAAAAUUUCAAGAAAUAGCGUAAUGGAAGCCUUAAAUUAGGUUGUGAACCUUAGUGUACUCGUUGUGAGUGCAUAUUUCUCUAUGAGAGUGAUGGUUUCAUUCCCAUCAUUUACCUAAUUGACCAAUGAAUGUGGACAAUGCUGUCAUCUCUUUGCUUCAAUCAAACUCUGUAUGUAAACGACACGAUUCAAAUCAUUAUCAAUAAAUCUACUAAAAAUGAAAGAGAGAUUUAAAUGUGCCUACUCUUUAUGGUGUUAUACCAAUCAAAACCCACACAAUCAUUCAUGUUCUUGGCACAAUAUCUCAUGCUUCUUAAUGAAUAUUUCAACUUCAUACCAAGAGUGAUAAAUUAUAUAUGUAUCCUCUAUAAUUUAUUGAAAUAAUCUUUCAAGAUUGCUCUUGAAAACUUGAGAAGUGGGGAACUAGGGCUAAAAGGAUGACUAUAUUCACGUGUAUGCUCCUCAAUUCAAUAAAGUAAUUUAUUUAUUUUGAAACGUUGGAAGAUGAAUUUGGAUAGCUAUAUCAUAUUGUAGACUACUAAUUUUUUCCUACCAAUAUGGCAUGAACCCAUUUUUAUGGCUUUAGGCCAUGUUUGGUUGGUUGGAUAUAUAGUAUGAGAUAGGAUAAGAGAGAGGAUAUUAUAUUUUAUCCCAUGUUUGACUUGUGAUGGGAUAAGAUAAGUUAUCUCAUCACUUAUCUUAUCCUAUGUUCAAUCAAACAUAGGAUAGGAUAAGUGAUGACAUAUAUUAUCUACUAUUUUUUUAUCCCUUCCUAUCCUAUCCUAUGAAUUUGGAGAGCUACAUCAUAUUGUAGACCACUAAUUUUUGCCCACCAAUAUGACAUGAGCUCAUCCCAUGUCUUUAGACGAUGUUUGAUUGACCAUAUAACAUGUAAUAGAAUAAGAGAAGAGAUACUAUAUCUUAUCCCAUGUUUGGAUGGUGAUAAGAUAUGAUAAAUUAUCUCAUCACUUAUCAUAUCCUAUAUUCAACCAAACAUGGGAUAGGAUAAGUGGUGAAAUAUAUUAUCCACUUUUUUUCUUUAUUCCUUUUACAUAGGAUAUAUUAAUUUCAUGCUAUGAUAUAAAAUAUGCAUAUCCCAUGUAUCAUAAAUUUAUUUUUUAAUUAUUUUUUUAUUUUUUUAUACUCAUUUUGCAAAAUAAUUUUUUUUAUUAUAAAUUAAAUUCAUGAUUAAAAAAUAAAAAAUAUUAAUAUAUAAUAUAUAAUUUAUUUUUAUAUAUUGAAUGAUAUAAUAUAAAAAAUUUUAAUUUAUAAAAUUUAAAUAAUUUAAUCAUAAAUAUUGUCAAAUAUAAGAGAAAUUUCAUUUUUUAAAUAAAAUUUUUUAUUACAUGAUAUAAUUUUUAUUUUAAACAUUAAAAAUAAUACAUAUUGGUGACUGUUUAGUGAUAACGGAUGAAGAAUGGGUAGAAUUGUCAAGGUCUAGGUAGGAUAAAAAGAGGUAUGAGAUGACAAAGAGACAGAGUGGUCACAUGAUUGGUGAAAUGGAAACACCACUUCAUCAAAGAUGAUAUGCCGAGUUAUAUACAUUCUGCCAAAAUUGUAAUCUAAGCACAACUAACCUCUGCGAAUUGUGCUAGAGCCAAGAAAGAUGCAGUAGACUUAAUGAUAUAGGAGUAUAAUUGUGUUUAUUAUAUGGGAGAACAUAGGGAUAGUAGAGAUGGUAAUUUGGUGUUUUUCCAAAUAGAAUUUGAAAAGGAUCUAGAUUGAAGUUGGAGUACCUUGGAAAGCAUUUGAUUAAUAAGGAAUAUGACAGUAUGGAACGCAUAAAGCCAGAACUUCAAAGGUAAAGAAGUAGUAGCUAAGAGAGCCAAACCAGUUUCUACUAUGUGCCUCAUCUUUUCUGUUUUGGGACAGAAGCAUCUAUUUUCAAUCUAAUAUGUAGCAAGAAAAAGGGUGAAAGCUUUUGAAUUCACCUCCAUUAUCAAAUCAUAAACAUUACAAUUGAGAAUUGAAUUGAUUUUCAACUUAGGUUUUGAACUUAACGAAGGAAGGCAAAGCUUGAUCAAUAGUAUGUAAGAGAUGAAGUGAAGAAAACCUAGAAAAAUCAAGGAAUAAUAAAAAAUAAUUUGCACUAAUUGUGGAGAUAACAGUGGCAAGAGCUCACAAAUCAGUAUGAACUAAAGCAAGAGGAUGAGAAGCUCUAGAUUCAAAUAAUGGAUGAAGUAAUCUAUGACUUUUUGCAUAUUGGCAAACACAACAAAUAUUAUGUCUAUGAUAGUCAUUGGAGAUAUUACAAGAUGUAAGAAUCUGCUUCAAAGUAUCAAUACCAGGAUGACCAAGACGAGCACACCAAAAUUUGGCUAAGUUAUUCAAAUUCCUAGUAGAAGAGCCAUGACCGGAAGUAAAGAGGGCUAAAGGUCCAUCAUAAUAUUUAUUGUGUUUCCAAAAAUACAUUAAUAGAUUAAAUCCAAAAAUCUUUUAAAAAAAAAAAAUUAAGAAGGUAGCUAUGAAUUGGAUAUUAAAAAACAAAUCAUUUUACAAUAAUUAACCCCUCUCUAAUUUAUUUUUCAUUUACUCUUAUAUUUCAUCUUUAUUAAUCAAAAUAAAUGUCCACAAAAAAUAUCAAAUUAAACAAUAUAAACUUUAAAUUAUCAACUACAAAGAGCAAUCAAAUUUAAGAAUCUUUUAUGUAUCCUCUAUUUUUGUUGAAAGAAUCUUUUAAGAUUGCUCUUGAAAACUUGAGAGGACUAUAUUCUUGCGUACGCUCCUCAAUUCAACAAAGUAAUUUAUUUAUUUUCAAACAUUGGAAGAUCAAUUUGGAGAGCUACAUCAUAUUGUAGACCACUAAGUUUUUCCUACCAAUAUGGCUUGAACCCAUUUUUAUGCCUUUAUUGAAUCGGGCAUUACACUUUGGCACCAUUCUAAAGUCGUCUUUCUAUUAUACUACUAUCUUAAUCUCAUUGAUGACUUUAAUCCCCUCUCCAAUCUUAUAUAUGGUAUAUAUUGAUGCACAAAUAUAUGACACGUGGACUCUCAUACACAGACACUUUCUUUUUAUCGUAUCUUUUAGUUUUUAAUUUUAAUUAUUAACUUUCAAUUUUUAAUUUCUAUUUCUUAAAAAUUAACUUUAAGCUAUCAAUUUUAAGAGUACUAGCUUUACACAAAUGGGUUUUUCUCACUAAUUUUAAAAAAUAUAGGAAAAAAUAAUUUCAAAUUUUAUAAAUCAAUAGUUCUUUCUCUAUUUAAAAGUAUUUUAAAAUAUAUAUACUUUUCAUAAGUUAGAUAAUCAUUUCCUAAAAUAAUCCUUUUACUUGUUAGGUUAAUAACAUUAAUUGACAAUUUUUUUUACCAAUUGUUAGGUUAAUAAAAUAAGAAAAUUUAAAAAUUAAAAAUACAAUUAAAACUUAAAAAAAAUAAAUAAAUAAAAAACCUUUAAAGGUAAAAGUAUAAAAAUAAAAUACAAUUAACUUUCACUUCGCUAAAACACACUAGCAAAAAAUAUAAAUUUGGAGAAAGAAUUGGAAAUACAAUGGGAGUUAAUUUUUUUUUUAAUUUUCAAGUUUUUAAUUUUAAUUGUAUUUAAUUGUUAAUUAUUUUGGUUUAAAUUGUAUUUUAAAUUUUUAAAUUUUUUUAUUUUAUUGUUGAUGUUAACUAAUAAAAUUUUUAUUCAAUUUUAUUAAAAAAAAAGAAGAAAAAAAAAAGAAGAUGAGUUGAUUUAUAUAAUACAAGAUAUAAAAUCAUUAUUAAUCAUGGAAUUAGAAAGAUUUUAUUUAUCAACUGAGGAUCAUAAUUUUUCCACAAUGAUUUUUAUCUCAUAUUAUAUAAUAAAAAAUUUAUAAUAUAUUUAUUUGUAAGGGUAUUUUAGGAAAUAAUUAUCCAACUUAUGAAAAAAUGCAUGUAUUUUAAAAUAUUUUUAAAUAGAUAAAAAUAAAAUUGAUUUAUAAAAGUUAAAGUUCAUUUUCCUAUACUAUCACUUUUCCCAUAAAAAAAAUUAUAAAAUUACAAUUUUAAGAAUAUUUAGAAUUUCAAAUUUAUGACUCUUUGUGAAAUUUCAAUUGAAAAUUUUAUGUUCAAUAGGAACUUAUUGUUGAAAAAAAAAACGAGGAAACAAAAGAUAAGACAACAUGCAAUCAAGUUUCAUUACAUUCUCUUUCAGAGUUUCUAUAUGCAUAGGAGCCCAUGGUUUUUUCUUUUUCUUUUUCCCUAAAAAAAAAAAUUAUGCCACAAUUUUGGACUAAGGAAGCAAGACAAGAAAUGUUGACUUUUGGCUUGAAAUCCAUAUUAAAAACUCAUCAUUGUUUAUUUGUCAUGUCCCAGAAACCCUGUAAUGUUCAUUUCAUACCUCAAACUCGAAAGUUCAAAGUGCAAAUGAGUCAAACGAUCAUUUGGUGAUUAGAAGGUUCCUAAUUACCAAAUUCAUUUUCAAAAUAGUAAAAUAAAAAAUUUCUAUAAUUCUCAAAUCUCAACUUUAAAAUUAAUACAUCAACCAAAAUACUAUUAUUCAAAUAAUUUCAAACUCAAAUAAUUCAAAUAAUAAUUAAAUUCUAACAUCUAAACAAUGUUCAAUGUGAUUAUGAAUAGGAGAUACAAUGUAUUUUUAUUUUUUUUUCUAAAAAACUUUCGAGUUCAAAAAAUUCAUAUUUAUAUGAAAACAAUUUUGUAUCAAAUUCAAAUAAAAUAUGUUCAAAAUAUUUUUAUUCUGGGUUUAAAAUAACAAAUGACACCUAAUUAGGUGAGACUUUACAAAUGGCAAACUAACUUCGAACUUGUUCAUUUUAAGAUGGACGGAGUCAAACUUCUUAGUAAUCUCUAACCAAACCCCCAAAGGUUGGGAUGUAAGAUAUCACAUGCAAUAUAUAUUCGAUCCAAGUAUAUAAACAUUUGCAACAUGAAUCAAAUCUAAAAAAGACUUAGAAUCGUUUACUUACCUCCAGCCAUUGUUUUGAGUUACUGUAAUCAGUGCAAGCCUUGAUUUCCAAAUUCUGAUAUCUUCUUUUAGAUGGUGUUGAAGAUAAAAACAGCAGAGAAACGAGUUCAGGACCAUGAGAGAUCUAUAUAACUGUGGCUUCCCAUCAUACCACGUUGCUUCUGAUUUGCCACACUAUGAGCAGUUUGUAGAACAUGCUCCUUAACCGCAGCAGAAGUGAGAGAUGGUAGAGGACAUGGUCAAGGUGUUGGACCACAUCAGUGUGGUGAACGUGUGUGAACAUGUAGCCGAUAACAUUCUCCCACUUGGUCCACACUUUUAACCUAAUGUCCUAUCUUAGUCUAUCAAUUAUCCGCAUUAAGUAACAAAUACAUGAAUCAUGGCGAUAAGUCCUCUAUAUAACGAGUGUUACCUUCCAUGUAUUACAGUGUAUUCAUUUCUUAACAUUAUUCUUUAUGUGGCAAUAUUACGUAAUGAAUAAACCCUAUAUUCAUUCUUGGUCCAAUGAAGUUGAAUUUUCUCAAAAUUAAAUAAAUGUGCACAUUAAUAUGAGAAAACAUCAUAAUAAGAGUUUGUACAAUAAAAACUAAAUAAGGGAACUAAGUCCCAUGUUCACUAGAUGAUCUUUGAAUUUCAAUGGUGGCAUGCCCUUAGUCAAAGGAUCAACAAUCAUCAAUUCAGUGCUAAUAUGCUCAAUAACCACUUUCUUUUCUUUAACAUGUUCUCUUAUGGCUAGAUACUUAAUGUCAAUGUGCUUGCUUUGACUUCCACUUUUAUUGUUCUUUGCCAUAAAGACUACAGCUGAAUUGUCGCAAUAUAUACUCAAUGGCCUAGAUAUUGAAUCCAUAAUUCUAAGCCCGAAAAUGAAACUCUUAAGCCAUACACCAUGUGAAGUAGCCUCAGAACAACAUAUGAACUCAGCUUCCAUAGUAGAAGUAGUAGUCAAGGUUUGCAUAAUGCUUCUAUAAGAUAUAGCUCCACCGGCUAAUAUAAAAAUGGAUCCAGAUGUUGAUUUACGCGAAUCAACACAACCAGCAAAGUCUGAAUCUAAGUAACCAACAACCUUUAAAUUGCUUGUCCAUCUGUACAUAAGCUUGUAAUCUUUGGUUCCUUGAAGAUACCUCAUCACUUUCUUUGCAGCUUUCCAGUGGUCCAAACUUGGGUUACUCCGAUAUCGUCCUAACAUUCCAACAACAAUUGCAAUGUCAAGCCUUGUGCAGACCUGAGCAUACAUCAAACUUCCAACUACAGAAGCAUAUGGAAUGUUCUUCAUUUGUUCCCUCUCAAUAUCAUUUUUUGGGCAUUGGUUCAGAUUGAACAUAUUAUCCUUCACUAUAGGGGAAACACUAAGUGAACAAUCCUUCAUCCAAAAUCUCUCUAAAACUUUAUUGAUAUAGGUUUCCUGAGACAGACCUAAGAUACCUUGAAAUCUGUCUCUAUGGAUCUUAAUGCCAAUGACAUAAGAUGUCUCACCCAUAUCCUUCAUGUCAAAAUUUUUAGAGAGGAAUUGUUUCACCUCAUGAAGUAAACCCUUAUCAUUGGUUACAAGUAAGAUGUCGUUCAUGUAUAAAACAAGAAAACAAACUCUACUCCCACUGACCUUAAGGUAUAUGCAUUGAUCCAUAACAUUUUCUACAAGGUCAAAUGAAGAAAUUAUGUUAUGGAAUUUUAAAUACCAUUGGCGGGAUGGUUGUUUUAAACCGUAUAUGGAUUUCUUAAGCUUACAAACCAAUUGCUCACCAUCAUUAGAGGGAAAUCCUUCAGGUUGUUUCAUGUAAACCUCUUCCUCUAGCUCUCUAUUAAGAAAUGUUGUUUUCACAUCUAUUUGUUGCAAUUCCAAAUCAAAGUGGGCUACUAAUGCCAAUAUAAUGUGCAAGGAAUCUUUCUUAGAUAUAGGAGAAAAGGUUUCCGUGUAAUCGAUUCUUUCUUUCUGAGUGAACCCCUUUGCAACAAGUCUGGCCUUGUAUCUCUCAAUGUUGCCUAAUGAGUCUUUCUUUGUCUUAAAAAACCCAUUUACAACCAAUGGCUUUUGCACUGGAUUGUAGAUCCAGAAUCAAUCCACCAUGUGUUGGUAUUUACAUUAACCAUAUUAGAUUCAUAACAAACAAAUGAGGUAGGGUUACCUUUCUUCUCAAGCUAUUUCUGAAAUUUCAGACAUUUCUUCUUCAUGUGUCAUUUCUUUUUAUAGAAAAAACACUUUUCGUCUUUCUUAAUGUCAAAUUUGGGAGGAAUUUGUUGCUUCCCUUUUUGACUGGCUUGAGAUUUUCCUUUCUUUUGCGUCACCAGCAUGACACUUUCUCCUUGUUCCAUCAAUAACCUUCCUUCCUCUUGAACACACAUGGUCAUCAAUUCAUUGAUAGACCACUUAUCCUUAUGUGUGUUGUAAGAGAUUUUGAAAGGUCCAUACUGAGGCGGAAGAGUGUUAAGGAUAAAGUGCACCAAGAAGGAUUUGGACAUUUCUACCUCGAGCUUCUUCAAUUGAGUCAGUAUGUCCAUCAUUUCCAUGAUGUGUUCACGUACACCUCUUACACUAGUGAGCUUCAGGGAUGUGAACAUAAUUAGGGUGCUUGCCAAGGCUUUAUCUGAAGUGACGAAUUGCUCGUCAAUAACCUUUAGAAAAUCGCGGACAUUCUCAUGUUGCUCGAUUGAACCAUGUAUAUCAGCAUUAAUUUUUGUCUUAAUGUACAUUAGGUUGAGGCAAUUAGAUUUCUCCCAGCAUUCGUACAAUAGAAUUUCAUCAGGUGUGCUGGUAUCAGUGAUCUUAUGUGGUUCAUCUUUCCUUAUGGCAUAGUCUAUGUCCAUGCACCCUAAUUGAAGAAGAAUUCUCUCCUUCCAUAUCUUAAAGUUAUCUCCCCUGAGUUCGAGAACCUCACAACAAAUAUCAGAUAUGCUAGUAAAACUGCACAAAAAGAUUACAAGCUUAUUAAAAUUUGAGGCUUUAAUUUAAAUUCAUGUUUUACCAAUGUAGAACAUGCUUAAAAAUUGAAUAUAAUUUUAUUAAAAAUUACAUGUUGGCUAAAUCUUUAAUUCAAUCAGAUUCAUUAUCUUUAUGAUAUACUUUAUCAAACUAUUUUACUGAAUUUAUGAAAUUUAUUAUGAAUAUAGUUUAAUAUUUUCUAUCUAUAAGCUUUAUGAUAAACCUAUUAAAUUAAUUCUUCCUAACUCUUGUGGGUAAAUUAGGAAAAAUCAAUUUUAAUAUUUUAUCUUAAUUAAUUAUAUAAACAUAAUGAAAUCCCCGUGGGGUAAAAUCGUCAUAUUUAUAUAAUUAAUUACAAUUAAUGUCCAUAAUGUGAUCCUUAUUUACUUAAUAUAUAAUUUUAUAGAAUUAAGGAUGUUGUGGCUAUUCCUUAAUUAUUUAAAAUUAUAUGGUUCAUUAGAUAUUAAAACUAUAUGAUAUAAAUUUAACAUAUCUAACACAAAUUUAGGCAACAAUUGCAUGCAACUAAAGCUACAACUUUGAGUUAUCUAACUCAAAUUUAGGCUACAUUUUUACACAUACAAACAUAUAAAUUAGAACAAAAUAAUUUAAUUUGCAUGUAUAAAAAUCACAUAAUAAUUUAAAAUUAAUUUAAAAGGAUUUCAAAUUAUGAUUAGGUACCUAAACCCAACAAAAUUAUUUCAAACAGGCCAUAAGGGCCUAAACUGGUCCAAUUUUUAACAAUCAGUUACAAGCCCAAUCAAAAAAAUAAUUUAAAUUGGGCUAUAAGGGCCUAAAUUGGUCCAAUUUUAACAAUUACCCCAUGGCCCAACAAUUAAAGCCCUUUAUUAUUAUUAUUUUUUUUGCAAAAUGGGCCAUUGCCCAUGCAUUAAGCCCAAUGGGCCCAAUAGCCACUUAUAUUAAGGCCCAAAACAAUAGUGGGACCAAUCUCUCUCUAGGUUCCACAAAUUAAUAACACCUACACCGAAACCCACCAUCCUAAUUUUUCGCCACCCCGUAGACUGCUUCAUCCCCAACAGCGCCAUGCACGCUGCGACCCGCAUGGACUGCAUCAUCACUGACAACGACGUGCUCGCUACCACCCACAUGGACUGCACCAUCACCGACUAGCUAUGGAGCCGCCUACAUCACAUGGCAGGAAGAGCCCCACCACACGCGACAACAUCACCAGCAAGAACAACUUCUGUUUUCAUCGACCAGAUCAAGAUGGUUGGCCGCGACGGCGUCAACAACCAUCACAAACGGGACAGUUGCAUCCACCGGAGUGCAGCCCUGAUUCCUCCAUUCUCGCCUUUACGCGAGCUCCUCCACGCCGAUAUUGAUACCGUGAAGACCAGUGGCGUGGGGUGGUGGGGCUGGUGUUGUGCGUGGUAGGCGAUGAGCGGAGGGAUUGGUACAGAGGUCGACGGACACUCACAAUGGCCUCUGUACCCACACCCACCAGAUUGCAACCCUAGCCCUUACCAUUGUCACCUUCGGAAAUGGGUGUACCUGAGGCAGACCCGCUUUAACAACUUAGAUUGUCGUCUGAGUUCCAUUUUAUCCCAUUGAUGAGGAGCUUCUGGUGCAGUAUUUUUUUUUUUUAUUAGGGGACUAGUUAGACUACUGGUCGGAGCCUAAGCAUUUAUAAGGGCCUGAAUGGUGAUGCUUCAAGCGUUUCAUAUAAGUACCAGUUCACAGAAAGCAUCGAAGGUUGCGACCUUUUAGCCGUGAGAAGAUGCCUUGAGUUGGAACCCGAGUGGCUGCGCCUCUUGGAUGUUUCUAUCAAGCAUGGGUAUUUCGUUUUUAAAAUAGUGAUUUGAGAUAUCAACCAAUGGAUGUUUCUAUAAAGCACACCGUAUGAUUGUAUCUUACAACCAGAAGAGAAACCAUUAACUAAGCAAUUUUGGUACAAAACAAAUACCAAGGCAGAGGAAAUAUUAAGUUUGCUCUGAUACCAAAUGUAAGAUAUUGCAUGCAAUAUAUAUUCGAUCCAAGUAUAUGAACAUUUGCAACAUGAAUCAAAUCUGAAAAAGACUUAGAAUCAUUUACUUACCUCCAACCAUUGUUUUGAGUUACUGUAAUCGGUGCAAGCCUUGAUUUCCAAACUCUGCUAUCUCCUUUUAGAUGGUGUAUUUCUAAAGAUAAAAACAACAGAGAGAUGAGUUUGGGACCAUGAGAGAUCUAUAUAACUGUGGCUUCCCAUCAUACCACAUUGUUUCUGAUUUGCCACACUAUGAGCAAUUCGUAGAACAUGCUCCUUAACCGCAGCGGAAGUGAGAGACGGUGGAGGACGUGGUCAAGGUGUUGGACCACAUCAGGGUGGUAAACAUGUGUGAACAUGUAGCUGAUAACAUGGGAUUCAAAGCAAUUACAUUUCAUCAAGAAAUGUAAAGGUCAACUAUUAUAUGCUAUUGAUAAGAAUCGAAAGUGUCAAAUAUUAUAUCCCAUUGAUUAAGGAUGAAAAUGUCAAUUAUUAUAUCUCAUUAAUUUUUCUUACCUCAAAGAAACACUCAAAAACCUUGGAGAAAUUAAUCGUGAAGAAUCUAAUUCUCAUAUAACAUAAUAAAAAUUAACUAUUACUAUUAACUAUUUAUCAAAAAUUUAUAAAUUACACAAUCCUAAUAAUAUUUUAUAUUAUUAUUAGUAAUCCUAAAUAAUUUCUUAUUUUAAUAUUAUUAUCACUAAUAUUAUUUUCAACUUUCUAAUCGAUAACAAUUUAAUUAAAAAAAUUCCAAAUUUCCAUAAAACUUAUGUCCUUUUUAAAAUUCUAUUCCAAUAAUCAUUCAAUACCUAUAUAUUUUAAACUAAAACUCCUAAAAUUGUCAUAUUAAAUUAUUAUUACUAUUAUACCAGCUUUAUACCUUACCAAAUUCUCAACAUUUUUUUUUAAAUUUUUUAUUUUUCAUUAAGGAGACUACCUUUCUUCUUUCUUUUUUAUUUUAUUUCUUUUCUUUCCUUUAUAUAUAGUAAAGACACCACAUUCUCUCCUCAUUACAAUCUUUCCUUAACUACAAAAGUAUCUUUUAUUCAUUUAUUAUUUUUUCCAUUGCCACAUGCAUUAACCAAUACACCAUUCUUAUUUUCUUGUCUUUUUUUUUCUUCCACCUUACACCCUAAACUCUCUACGUUUUUUUUUUCUUUUUCUUUUUUUCUCUUUUUUUCCCUUCAAACUGAGCCUAUCAUAUUCAAUUGCAUGUGUAGCAAGAAAGAGGGUGAAAGCUUUGAAUUCACCUCCAUUAUCAAAUUAUAAACAUUAUAAUCAAGAAUUGAAUUGAUUUUCAACUAAGGUUUUGAACUUAACGAAGGUAGGCAAAGCUUGAUCUUUAGUAUGUAAGGGAUGAAGUGAAGAAAAUUGAAAAAAAUCAUGGAAUAAUAAGAAAUAACUUGCACUAGUUGUGGAGAUAAUAGUGGCAGGAUCUCACAAAUCAGUACGGACUAAAGUAAAAGGAUGAGAAGCUCUGGAUUCAAAUAAUGGAAAAGGUAAUCUAUGGUUUUUUUUCAUAUUGGCAAACACAACAAGCAUUAUGUUUAUGACCGUCAUUAGAGAUAUUACAAGAUGUAAGAAUCUACUUCAAAGUAUCAACAACAGAAUUACCAAAACUUGAGUACCAAAGUUUAGCCAAGUUAUUCAAAUUCAUAGUAAAAGAGCCAUGACCAAAAAUAAAGAGGGCUAAAGGUGCAUCAUAAUAUUUAUUGUGUUUCCAAAAAUAUAUUAAUUGAUUAAAUCCAAAAAUCAUUUUUUUAAAAUUUGAAGAAGGUAGCUAUGAAUUGGAUAUUUAAAAAAAAAAAUCAUUUUACAAUAAUUAAUCUCUCUCUAAUUUAUUUUUCAUUUACUGUGAUAUUUCAUCUUUAUUAAUCAAAAUAAAUGUCCACAAAAAAGUAAUUAAAUAAUAUAAACUUUAAAUUAUUAACUACAAAGACCAAUCAAAUUUAUUAAACCACGAAUUUAAUUAUUUUUAUAUUAGUAGGGCAAAUAAUUCAAAAAAUUAAUAAAAUAUUUACAAGCUAUUGAAUAGUGGAGAGUAGAACAUGACAUUUUGGUGGACCAAGACUAGCUCCCACAAGGGACGUUGAUACACUAUUUAAAAGAUAAGCCUCCUGAUAACCUUAUCUGACACGUCAUUCGUGCUUAUAAUUUCUUUACUUUUUCCAUAAUGGGGUUAAACAUUGAUCAACCCAACGUGCACUACACACUUGCAAGGUUUCCAUCACUCUAAUGCUUAAAUAAACCUUUUUGUAGUAAUGAUUGUCGAUGUGGGAUUGCAAGAAUUUGAAUUUUGAAAAGGGAAAAUCAAUGUUUUCAGAACCGGACCGGUGAUCGAACCGGAAAAGUUACCGGUUCACGGUUCACUGGUCGGACCGGCGGUCGAACCGUUAUCGAACCGCUAUCGAACCGGUGACGUCAUAAAUAUAUAAUUUAUAUAUUAUUAAAAUUAAAAAUAAUUAUAAAAAUUUUAAAAUAUAUAUGAAUAAAUUAAACAUCAAUAAUAUUAUUUUAUAUAUUUGAUAUUAUCAAAUUAAAUCAUAUUAAAUGAAAUGUAUACAAUAUUUAAAUGUGAAUAUAUUAAAAAUGAAAAUUUUAACUAAUUUAUAAUUUUUAAAUAUAUUAUAUUAUUUUUAUUUAAUAUUAUAAAAAAAUUAAAAUCCAAUAUAUAUUGUUUUGUUUGGCAUAUCAAAUAACAAAUCAGUGUAGCCGAGUGGUGUCCUAAUGCACUUCAAAACCUGAGGUCCCAGCUUCAAAUCCCCUUCUUGCAUUUGUUAAAUUUUUUUCAUUCAUAUUAUCAUAAUACUAUAAUAGUUUGCAAUCCCACAUCGGUGAGAGAAAUAAGGGUGCAAAGGAUGCCUAUAAAAGGCAUCCUUGUUGAAAGCUACAGCACACGUCAACCUUGUGGGCUCAAGACUGAGCCUACUUAAAUGGUUUGGGUGUGGGCUUUGUCAUGCAAAGACAUGGCCCAGUAUGGUCUUUGGCCUACAACGCUUAAUAUUUUAUACAACGGGCUUGCAAAAUGAUGGGCCAAUAUGGACUGUUCGGUUCGUUUAGAACCGUCCGGUUCUACCGGUUCACCGGUUCGACCACUGGUUCAGACGGUUCGUAACCGGUCCAAUAGUUAAACGGUUUAAUAUGGAGGACCGGACCGAAAAUGUGACCGAUUGACGGUUGGACCGACCGGUCCGGUCCGGUUUUUAAAACAUUGGGGAAAAUCCAAGAGAAAUGAAACGGGCUUAUGAUUGUCCACCAACACCAACUGACCAACCAUGCUUCAUUUGACAAAAUGAAGAUAUUAUAUGUAUAUAUAUAUAUAUAUAUGUAUGUAUGUGUGUGUGUGCAUUAUUAGCAUUAAAUAUAUUAAUCAUAUAUAUAAACAAAUAUUAUAAAUUAUAUACAUAUAUUAUAAAUAAAUCAUAAUUAAAUUAUUAUAAAUAAAUUAUUUUUUGUUAUUGUGACUUUUAUAUAAUAAUUAUAUAUAAAACAAAUAUAAAUUUUUUAAUAAAAUUAUCAAAAUUUUAAAAUAAAAAUAUUUAAACAAAUUAUUAUUAUUUCUUUUAUGUCAUUAAAUACAUCUAAAUUAGAUGAUUAUGCAUAAAGUAUGUUUUCAAGUUAUAAAUAUUAUUGUUAAAUAUAACAACGGUGUAUAUAUCAUCAUUUAUUUUAUAUUAUUUAAUAUAAUUGAAUUAAAUUAAAUCAUAAUUUUAAUAUUAAAUAUAUUUCAAAAUUAGAUAUAUUAUAAUCAAAUAUCAUAAUAUUAUUAUGAAAUAAUAUUUAAUGUGAUUUAAUAAUAAAUAUACACUUAUAAAAUUCAUAUUUUUUAUUGAUACAUAUGAUAUUAUCAUCAAAUAUGAUAAAUCAUAUUAUACAUAUAUCAAAUUCUUCAACAAAAUAAUUUUAAAAUGUCUAUUAUAUUUCUAAUUACAUUUUUACAAUUCUUACAUUUUCAUGAAUUUUGAUCAAUUUUAAGCCUAUUGACAUUUUUUUUUCAAAAUAUCCUUCGAUAUAUCCAAUAUAUCCCCGAUAUAUCCAAUAUAUCCCUAAUAUAUCCAUAAAAUCGAAUUACCGAUACAUCUGUGAUUACCGAUAUUUUCAUCCUUAGUCAUAUUUGGAAAAUUCGAGAAAGAAGAGCAAGGGUAUCAAUUUUUAGGCAAUAGACAAAAAUGUCAAAUUUCCACUUGCCCAAAAAUGUUGAUUCACGACAAAACAUACAUCACUUUUAGGUAUUAUUGCAUACCAUUAUGUCCACCCUAGAAGAUGGAUCUAGUAACUUGAUGGCUCAAUGUGGAAAACAAAGAGAAAAAUUUAUUGUACAAGUAAAGUCUAGAAGAUGGGUAAUUUUCCUACUCAACCUCCUCCUGAACUCUAUAAAUACUCCCCUAAUCUUCCUCAUAUUCAUCUCUCAAAAGUCUCUCUUCAUCUCUUUCAUAACCUUCAACUUAGUCUCUUUCUAUUGUUUCUCAUAAAAUCAAGGUUUGUACUCACUCUUAUCUCUCUCUCUCUCUCUAUAUAUAUAUAUAUAUAUAUAUAGAUGUUAGUCGCCUUCAAUGUAUGCAUCUGAGAACUAUGGAUGAAUGAUAUGACAUGAAUUUCAAGAUGAAGGUUGAGUAGUGACCUAUGGAUAUGGUUUUCAUUAUCUCUCUACAUGAUCUUAAUUAUAGUCUUAACCUUUUGAUCUGUGUUUUGCAGGCAGUCGUUCAUUUGCUUUCUUUCAAAUAUACAGUUAUAAUCCAUGGAGUUGAACUUAGCACCAAAGUUUGCACAAAAGAUCUUCGAAGGAGAAGGUGAAACAUAUUACAGUUGGUCAAGUGCUGAAUAUGAAUUGCUCAAGGAAGCAAAGGUUGGUGGUGGAAGGCUUGUUCUUCAGCCUCGUGGCUUCGCUCUCCCUUACUAUGCUGACAUAAGUUGUUCCUUUGUGUUCAGAAAAGCUAUUGCUGCAUUGAUUUUGGAAAUUUAAUUUAUAGUAUAAGGCCAAAUAGAAGCCUUAAAUUAGGUUAAGAACCUUAGUGACAAGGAGUUGGGUUUAAUUUUGUGCACAAAAAUUUAUCCCUUCCUAAUUUUGUUAUAAAUGUGAUAUUAUAAAAGAGAGAUUCAUUUUCUUGUAAAAUUGGUUAUGAAUGUGGACAAUGCUCCCAUCUCUUUCCUUCAAUCAAACUCUUCAAAUGUAAAAUUAAUAUCACGAUUCAAACGAUUCUUAAUAGAUCUACUAAAAAUGAAAAAGAGAUUCGGAUGUGCCUACUUUAUAUGGCUUUAUAUCGAUCAAAAUCUUCACAAUCAUUCAUGUCCUUGGCACAGUACCUCAUGUUCCUUAAUGUAUAUUUCAACUUCGUAUUAAGACUAACAAAUUAUGUAAACUCUAUUUUUGUUGAAGGAAUCUUUAAAGAUUGCUAUUGAAAACUUAAGAAAUGGAGAACCAAGACUCAAUGGAUAACUAUCUUCUUGUGUAUACUCUUCAACUGAGUAAAAUAAUUUGUUUGUAUUAAAACAUUAGAAAAUAAAUUUGGAGAAGAACAUCAUGUAGAUCACUAUUUUAUAUGUACAUCUGUGAGAUGGAAAAUGUUGUACUACUAUUAAUUAUAUGGCAAUAAGUUGUUCCUUUGUGUGAUCAGAAAUUCUAUUGCUGCAUUGAUUUUGGAAAUUUAAUUCAAAGUAUAAGGCCAAAUAAAAGCCUUAAAUUAGGUUAAGAACCUUAGUGACAAGGAGUUGGGUUUAAUUUUGUGCACAAAAAUUUAUCCCUUCCUAAUUUUGUUAUAUAUGUGAUAUUAUAAAAGAGAGAUUCAUUUUCUUGUAAAAUUGGUUAUGAAUGUGGACAUUGCUCCCAUCUCUUUCCUUCAAUCAAACUCUUCAAAUGUAAAAUUAAUAUCACGAUUCAAACAAUUCUUAAUAAAUCUACUAAAAAUGAAAAAGAGAUCCGGAUGUGCCUACUUUAUAUGGCUUUAUAUCGAUCAAAAUCUUCACAAUCAAUCAUGUCCUUGGCACAGUACCUUAUGUUCCUUAAUGAAUAUUUCAACUUCGUAUUAACACUAACAAAUUAUGUAAGCUCUAUUUUUGUUGAAGGAAUCUUUAAAGAUUGGUAUUGAAAACUUAAGAAAUGGAGAACGAAGGCUCAAUGGAUAACUAUCUUCUUGUGUAUACUCUUCAACUGAGUAAAUUUGGAGAACAACAUCAUAUUGUAGAUCACUAUUUUUUUUUUCCCGACAUGAACCCAUUUUAACUUUUGAUUUUAUGUUUUAGCUCUCAAUUUUUAAUUUUUAAUUUCUAAUUCUUAAAUUUUAACUUUAAGCAAUCAACUUUAAGAGUACUAAACUCUGCACAAAAGGAGAUUCCCACGUUUUAUUUUAUGUGGAUUGCCAAGAUUUUGGACUUUAGGAAAAUAUAAGUGUCCUGUUUGAUAACUAUUUUUUAGAAUAGUUUUUUAUUUUUUAAAACAAAAAAUACAGGAAACAUGUUUAACAACCAAAAACUAUUUUCCGUUUUAUAUUCUAAAUUAAAAAAAAAAUGGGGUUUCAUAUAACACUUUUUAGUUGUUUUUUUUUUAUUAUUUUCACUUGUUUUGUAAAGAUUGUUUUAAAGAAUAAUUAUAUAAACAUAUAGAAUGAUUAAAAAUAAAACACUACAUAUUAAAAUUAUUUUUAAAACAUAUUUUAAAAUAUUUAAAAUAAAUUAAAAAUAUUUUAGGUUUUCAAAUAGACUUUUGUUCUACAAAAAAUCAUAUAAUAGUUUUCAAAAAUUGUUCUCAAAAACUAUUUUUCAGAAUUAUUUUUGAAAACAGAUACCAAACAUACCCUUAAUGUUGACUUUUGGGGCAUGACAAUCCAAAUUAAAAGUCACAUUUUUAUUUUUUGGAGUUUUUGAUAUUUAUACAGCUUUAUUAAAUUACAAUUCUAAGAAUAUUUUAGGAUUUAUAAAAAUUUAAAAAGUAUUUUCAAAUUUAUGACUUUUGUGAAAUUUCAAUUGAAAGUUUUCUAUUAAAGAGAUAACUUCAAUGGGAACUUAUCUUUUAAGUAAAAAAGAAAAAAAUAAUAAAAAGAAAAAGAAAGAAAAAUCAAAGAGGAAAUAAAAGAUAAUACAACAUGCAUGCAAUCGAUUUUCAUUACAUUCUCUUUUAAGGUUUCUAUAUAUAUGGGAGUUAUGAUUUUCUCGUAAUGCCAAAAAUACCCAAAGUUUUCCUAUAUAUAUAGGAAGUUGUUUCCCUUUGGAUUUUUACUUCGAUAGGCAAUAAGUUGUAAUUUCCUUAGAAAAUGGGGCUCUAUAUUUACUUAUAAAAGUCAUAGAUCCAUCAUCAGAUGAUAUCAGUUAUCUUUAUGACAAAAUAUUUAAGAUGAUUAAGAAAGAAAAAUCUAUGUUCUACAUACCAGCAUUCAAAGUUCUUGAUUUCAAACAAGACUUCAAUUAUGCAUUAAGGUAUGUCUAACAAUUUUAUUAUUGUGAAAUCACAAAAUUCAAAGUUUCUUGAGAUUAUGAAUCCUUUUCCAUAAAUUAGCAAUAAAUUAUUGAAGAGAAAGCUUUAUACAAUUCAGUCCAUAUACUCUUAUAACCACUAAUUAUAGCUAUAUACAUCUCAUAGGUUGGUCAUAAUGUAAUUUUUAGAAAAAAAAAAUGACGGUUCAAAAUGUAAACCUAACAACGUGUUAGAUUACGGUUUGUUAUUUGGCUCCAAAGAAGCAAACCUAAGGUUUUGUUGACUUCAGAUUUGAUAUCUCACAACCAAUUGAUUGUUAGCUAGAUUAAUAAAUGGCUAAUAUUUGGGGGUAAUAAUCUUUUCAAUGGAAAAUUAAUGCAACUUAGUUCAACAACUUGUAUUAGGUUGCAUAGUACAAGCCUCUACUUGAAGAGGGUUUAGUACAUGCUUAUCAUGUCAAGGAAUUAUUUAUCACUAUCAACUUUAGCACAUGCGUACGAUGAGGUAAGAAAAAUAAGCAAAGAUUCCAAACUUUUUUACUUAAGGAAUAAUUUUAACCCUAGACUAUGUAAAAAUAUUAAUAGUGAUUUUUUAUUUUAAUAUUUUAUUAAAAAAAAAUGAAUCAAAAAAUCAAUACGACCAAAUAGGUGGAGCAAAGUUUUAUCUCAUAUUAUAAUGUCCAUGUGUUUAAAUCACAUCUGGGUUUUCCAUUUAGUUAUGAGGAAAAAUUCUACUAUAAUAAGCAUUUACUUGGUAUUUGAGUAUAGUUUAGAUUUCACAUUAAAUCAAGACACAUGCCUAUGUAUAUUGAAUGAGAGUAAACUAUUUUAAUAUUACCAUAUAAAAUAUUACAAAAAUUAAAUAAAAAUUAGACACAACUAUCAAGCUUUGAAACAUCUCAUGUUUUUUUAUUCCUUAUAUCUAUAACUUAAAACACGAGCUCUUACUUCAAAAUGUUUGUCACUCUUGCUCAUGCAUGUACAUGAUCAUUUUCAUCUCAUAAUUUUUCCCCUUCAUGACCUAUAUAUAAUAUUUAUAAAAAUAUUGUUAACAACUUUCUUUACUUUAUAACAUUGAUCGAAUUUCAUCUAAGUCCUUUUAUCUCUCUAUUAUAUAAAAAUUUGUGAUUCAUAUAGCCUUGUUACACAUGUUUUUACUAGUGCACAUGACUUCUCUAAUAUACCAUAAUUAAGGUGGUCAAUUUUUUUAUUCUACCUAUAAACUUGCUUGAAUCAGAUUAAUCUUGACUCCAUACCAUGACUUUCUUAUGCACCACGGUCUCCUCAUAUGCCAUGACCCCAUCAUGCAUCACACACUCUUUGUUUGGCUUCUAUCAUAUCUAUUCAGAUUCAAAAAUUAUUACCAUUUCCACGUUUCAUAUAUCACAUGCCAAUGAGAGAAAAAUUCACUCCACCUUCAAUCAAAAUUUUUUGUGCAAUCCUCUUGUGUGUUCCAUUUGAACUUUGGAUAUUUUUCUUAUCUUCUCAAGGAAUUUUUAUGAUGUGCUCUUCUAGAAAUCUGGGUCCUUAUAACAUGCAGUUAAUUAAAUAAUAAGACACUUUUUUCUACCAUGUUGCAGUGUCUGAUUGCAUUACCUUUAAUUCACACUAACUUUGGAAUCUGAGGAUGUUACUUCCGAGCAAAAUUGGUUGUACAAUCUUGGAGAGUGUCACACUCUACUCCAUGAACAUUAUCAACAGUACCAGAGAAUAUCAUGGAUGAUUUUUUGUACGAAAUAAUAUCUCUCAAUAUGGGUUAAAAUCUGUUAUUAUCAUUUGAUAGGGAGAGGAGCUUUCGGAUUUUUUUUAUUUUUUUUAUUUUUUUUUUAUUAAAGUAAUUAGAUGAUAAGGAAAAAAGAUUUUUCACAUAUGCAUACCAUGAAAAACAUAAUAGGAAAAAAAAUAGAGUAAAUUCUAAAAGAUUAUCUUUCAUUUUUUUUUUCUAAAAUAAUAAUAAUAAUAAAAUUUAAAAAAAAAAAAAAAACCAUUCCUCAUAAUUUUUUUUCUUUCAUUUUUUCAUAAACAAUCAAGUAAAAUAAAAAUUUUAUACUUUUUCUUUUGUUCUCUUUUCUUUCCUUAAUUUCUUUUUCUCAAACUUCUUGAUACUUGCUGAGCAUUGCCUAAUGAUUUUAUUAACUCCUUAAAUGUAGUUUUUAAUUUGCUUUGUUGGAGGAAAUACACCCACAUUAUAUAUUCAAUGGGAGUUUGCACAAAAAAUCUUUAAAGGAGAAGGUAGUUCAUACAAUAGUUAGUCACAAUGUAUUAACUCAAAAUAAAAGGAAAUAUUCAUUUUCAUUCAUAUGUCUUAGUGAAAUGAUACAUCAAUAUUUAUAGGGAUCAAUCUCAAUUAGAGUGCUUAAAAUUAAGCUCUAUCACCACUCUAAUGACUUAUCUACAACUAAUAUUGUACAACAAGAUUAACAGUCAAUCAACCUAUAAAUUAAAAUAAAGACAAUUAAGGAUAAUUAUAAUUAAUCAAGAAAUUCCAACACUUCCCCUCAAGUUGGUGCAUAGAUGUCACACAUGCUCAACUUGUCUAAAAACUUUGAGAACACUCAAUUUGACAUUGCUUUGGUGAGAAUGUCAACCAAUUAGUCUUUUGAUUGAAUCUUGGUCAACUCUACAAUUUUUUCAUCUAACUUCUUCUUAAUGAAGAAUUUGUUUACCUCUACAAUUUUUUUAAAAUUUUUCAUUCACCCAUGUUGGGUUUAGUCCUCUAAACUUGAUAUAUCUGAAUUUUGAAAAAAAUGUGGAUGCUUCUCUCAUCUCCUCAUCUAAUUCCCAAGUGGCCUCUCGAAAACUAUAAUUGUUCCAUUGAACCUCUACCAACUUGGCAAUAGCAUAACCUAGUACCUUAUCUAUCACAUCUACAAUCAGAACGGGUAGUUCUUCAUCAGUCAAAUCCUUUGACAUUUGAAUAGGCUCCAACUCUACAACAUGAGAGGGAUAAAAAAACAUACUUCCUCAAAGCCGAUACAUGAAACACAUUAUGAAUCUUAAACAAUCUUGGGGGCAAGGACACUUUAUAUGCUAAGGUGCCUACUCUUUCCAAGAUUUCAAACGGUCCCACAAACUGAGGAUUGAGCUUUCUGUUUCUCUCGAAUCCCAUCGUAGACUUUGUAGGCAAAACUUUUAAGAGAACAUGAUCACCAACCUCAAACUCCAAAUCUCACAUGUGAUUAUCAGCAUAACUCUUUUGUUUACUUUGAGCUGUUUUCAAUCUUUAUUUAAUCAAGUCAUACUUUUCAAUAGUUAACUGCACAAGUUCAAGCCCAAAAAGUUUCCUCUCUCUAACAUCAUCCUAAUAAACAGGAGAUCGACAUCUCCUACCAUACAAUCCCUCAAAAGGUGUCAUCCCAAUGCUAACUUAAAAGCUAUUAUUAUAGGCAAAUUUUACUAAAGGUAGUUAAUCAUCUCAAUUACCUUUUAGGUCUAAAGUACAAGCUCUUAACAAAUCUUUUAAAACCUGAAUUACCCUCUUUAAUUGACCAUCGGUUUGAGAAUGGAAAACAAUACUAAAACUCAACUUAGUAACCAAAGUUUUCUGUAAACUAUGCCAAAAUCUAGAAGCAAAACGAGGGUCCUUAUUGAAUACUAUAGAAAUAGGUACCCUGUGCAUCCUCACAAUCUUCUUGACAUAAAAAGAAGCCAAUCGGUCCAUGGAGAAACUAAUUUUCAUAGGUAGAAAAUAAGUAGAGUUAGUCAAUCAAUCAACAAUCACCCAAAUAAAAUUAUUACUGCCUAAGUGGUAACCCUAUCACAUAAUCCAUGGUAAUAUGUUCACAUUUCCAUUUAGGAAUAGAAAGUGGUUGCAAAGACCUUAUUGGGUGUAUAUGUGUAGCUUUCACCUGUUGACACACUAAACACUAAGCCACAAAUUGUGCAAUAUCUCGCUUCAUGCCUGACCACCAAUAAUUCUGCCUCAAAUCUUGGUACAUCUUCAAGCCUCCUACAUGGAUUAUAAGUCUAGGACAAUGCGCUUCCUUCAAAAACUCUCUUCUUAAGUCUCCAUCAUUUGGGACACUAAGUCUAGUCCCAAAUCUUAAGAUUUCAUCAUAUGAUAACAUAAAGUCAAGCUUACCGCUCUUCUUAACUUCCUUCAUAAGUUGGACUAAUUGCAAAUCAUUCUUUUAUAAGGUCUUAAUUAUCCUAACCAAGUCUUGUUGUACUAUGAAAUUCACUACAAGAGCUCUUGAGUUCCGAACUCUGAUAUGGAUUUGUAAACACCUCAAAUCCUCUAAUAAUCGCCUCUAACAACUUCUAAUAGUUGCUAAGGGACCAACUGAUUUCUUGCUCAAGGCAUCAACCACAACAUUUGCUUUCUUCGGAUGAUAUUGAAUAAUGUUGUCAUAGUCCUUAAGUAACUCUAUCCAUUUCCUUUGUUUCAUGUUUAAUUCCUUUUAGGAAAACAAAUACUUCAAACUCUUAUGAUUUGUGAAUAUCUCACAAGUUUCACUGGAAAGGAAAUGUCUUUAAAUCUUAAGUGCAAAAACACUACAACUAGCUCUAAAUCAUGAGUGGGGUAUUUUUGCUAACAAGGCUUUAGCUGUCUAGAAGCAUAAGCCACAACUUUCUUAUUUUGCAUAAGAACACACCCCAAACCCUAAUGAGAGGCAUCAUUAUACACUCAUGUUCCUCUACUUCUCAAGUACACUAAAAUAUUAUCUAUAAAAACCACGACAAACUAAUCUAGAUAGGGUUUGAAUACCCUAUAAGUCCAUAAAGGCAGUAGGUGCAUUAGUUAAACCAAAAGGCAUAGUAAAAAAAGCUCAUAAUGCUAUCUAGUUUCAAAAAACAUUCUCUUGAGUAUAUUCUCAUUUCUAACCCUCAAUUGAUGAUAUCUAGACCGAAGAUCGAUCUUAGAGAACACACAUGCACCCUAAGCUGGUCAAACAAAUCAUUAAUAUGAGAAAGAGAAUACUUGUUUCUCACCAUCACCUUAUUUAACUCUCUAUAAUCAAUGAAAAGUCUUAUUAAUCUAUCAUUCUUCUUCACAAAUAAAAUAGGAGCUCUCUUCACAAAUCAUGAAUCCGAGGAAGAGAAUACUUGUUUCUCACAAUCACCUUAUUUAACUCUCCAUAAUCAAUGCAAAGUCUCAUGGAUAGGUCAUUCUUCUUCACAAAUAGAAUAUGAGUUCCUCAAGGUGAAACAUUGGGCCUAAUAAAACCUUUAUUUAACAACUCCCGAAGUUGAAUCUUCAACUCCUUAAGUUCUAUAGGUGCCAUCCUGUGUGAGGCCUUAGAGAUAUGAGUUCUUCAUGUUACCAAAUCAAUGGUAAACUCCACCUUCCUUUAGUGGUAAGCUAGGCAAAUCGUUUAGAAAGACAUAAGGAUAAUUCCUUACAAUGGGUAUGUUCUCCAACCUUAAAUCAUUUUCGUUACUCACCACAUAUGCCAAAAAGCCUUGAUAACCCUUCCUUAUCGAGAAAAUAACUAGUUUGCAAGGUUGAGAUCAUACGUAAUGGUCUCUCCACAUGUUUCCCCUCAAAACUAAACUCAAGUUGAAAAAAAAAAUGUGAAACAUAAACCUUUUUCCAAAAAAAAAAUCAACAAAGACAUGAUAGGAAGCUAAUCAAUCCAUUCCCAAAAUCACAUUAAAAUGCUAAAGGUCAAGGAGUGCUAAGUUAACUAACAUCUCCCUAUAACCAAUAUAUCAUCAUAAGAUAAUCUUUAAGCAUUCUACUGGCCACAUCAGAAUCUCCUAAAGGAGUAGAAACAUUAAUCAAAUCAAAGUCCAUGCUAGCCACUGACGUACGUAACAAACUAAUGAAAGAUAUUGAAACAAAAUAAUGCAUUGUGCUUGGAUUCACCACUAAGAAACCAAUUAGACAAUUUAAAAUUAUGAGGAAGAAUAUGUAGGAAUUUAUACUAGAUGAAGCUAAAACUUAAACUAUUGUGUCACUCAUCUAUCCCUAAAGUAAACUAAAUCAAGUUCCCAACAAGAUCAUAACCUAAUGCUCUUAUACCAUUCUGUCAUGCCCUAAAACCUACUCUAAGGGUGUGAUGGUCAUUUUACACCUCAAGCUUAAAGGCUUAAAGUGCGAACGACUCAAACAGUCAUCUUAUAACUAGAAGGUUAACAAUUACUAAAUUCUUGUUCAAAGUAGUAAAAUAAAACAUUUCUAUAAUCCUUAAAUCUCAACUUUAAAACUAACACAUCAAUCAAAGUACUAUUGUCCAAAUAACUCCAAACUCAAAUAAUUCAAAUAAUAAUUAAAUUCUAACAUCUAAAUAAUAUCCAAAAUAAAGUUUAAAACAAAAUCCUAAUAAAGACAAUUUCCAAGCCUAACCAUCACUCCUCGCUUGAAUUGAGAAUACUAGAAAAAAAUUGAGGGAAUGAGCUCAAAACCCAAUACGAAAUACUAAAAUAGUUUCAUAAAUCAAACAAUUUCAAUUAUGAUUACAAAUAAGAGAUACAAUAUACAAUUUUUUUUUUCAUAAAAUGAGUUUGAAUAUACUAAAGCGUCCAAAUUUUUUCAAUUUUUUAUUUUUUAUUUUAUAUAUAUAUAUAUAUAUGUCAAAACAAUUUCAUAUCAAAUCAUGCAUUCAAAAUAUUUUACUUUGGUUAUUAGAUAACAAAUGAUGCCCAAUUAAGUGAGACUAUACAAAUGGGUGACUAACCUUAAAUUUAUUAUUUUUAAGGUCGAUGAAACCAAAUACUACUGAUACUAGUAACCUCUAACCAAACCCUUAAAGGUUGAGAUUCAAAGCAAUUACAUUCCCCACCAAGAAAUAUAAAGGUUAACUAUUAUAUCUCGUUAAUUAGGGCAAAAAAUGUCAACUAUUAUAUCUUGUUGACUAGGGUCAAACAAAUCAUAAUCAAACACUUCGUUCCAUUUAUUCAAACAUACAUAAACAUAAUAUCUCUAUAUUUUUUUGUUAUAAUCAAAGAAAAAAGUUUUAAUAUAUUUUUCACGCAAGAUAUAUUUGAUCCAUGCAUAAAAACAAAAAUAAUAUUUUACAUAUUUGCAAAUAACAUAUAAAAAGAAAAUCAUUUUUUUUUACAAAAUUCACAUUAAUUUCCCUUACCUCAAAUAAGCACUCAAAAACCUUGAAGAAAUUAAUUGUGUAGAAUCUAUUCCUUACAUCACAUAACAAAAAAAUAACUAUUACUAUUGACUAUUUAUCUAAAAGUUAUAAAUUAGGCAAACCUAACAAUAUUUUAUGUUUGUAUUAGUGAUCCUAAAUAAUUUCCUAUGCUAAUAUCAUUAUCACUAAUAUUAUUUUCAACUUCCUAAACCAUAACAAUUUAAUUAAAGAAUUUCCAAAUUUCCAUAAAACAUAUGUUCUUUCCAAAAAUCUAUUGUCAAUAAUCAUUCAAUCGUUCAGCCCCACAUUUUGUUCGAUAUUUUGGGACAAGACCAUCUAUUUUCAAUCCCAUGUGUAGCAAGAAAGGGAGUGAAAGCUUUGAAUUUACUUCCAUUAUUGGAUUAUAAACAUUGUAAUCAACAAUUGAAUUGAUUUUCAGCUAAGGUUUUGAACUUGUGGAAGGUAGGCAAAACUUGAUCUUUAGUAUGUAAGGGAUAAAGCCAAGAAAACUAAGAAAAAUUAUCAAGGAAUAUUAAGAAAUAACUUGCACCAAUUGUGGAGAUAACAGUGGCAGGACCUCACAAAUCGGUAUGAACUAAAGCAAGAGGAUGAGAAGCUCUAGAUUCAAAUAAUGGAAAUGGUGAUCUCUGGCUUUAUGCAUAUUAGCAAGCACAACAAACAUUAUGUCUAUGACAGUCAUCAGAGAUAUUACAAGAUGUAAGAAUUUGCUUCGAAGUAUUAUCAACACAAUGACCAAGAUCGGAGUGCCAAGGUUCAGCCAAGUUAUCCAAAUUCGUAAUAGUAGAGAAGCCAUGACAAGAAGUAAAGACGACUGAAGGUGCAUCAUAAUAUUUAUUGUGUUUCCAAAAAUACAUUAAUAGAUUAAAUCCAAAAUCUUUUUAUUUAGUUAUUUAUUAAUAAUUUUAAGAAGGUAGCUAUGAAUUGUAUAUUAAAAUAAAAAUCAUUUUACAAUAAUUAAUCCCUCUCUAAUUUAUUUUGCAUGUAAUGUGAUAUUUCAUCCUUAUUAAUCAAAAUAAAUGUCCACCAAAAAUAAUAUAAACUUUAAAUUGUCAACUAUCAAGGUGUUCAUUUUGUUAGAGUCAUUCAAUCGAGGCCACCAUGUAUAAAACCAUAAAUUUAAUUAUUUUUAUAUUAGUCCAAAUAAUUCAAAAUAUUAAUAAAAUAUUUACAAGCUAUUGCAUGGUGGUACAACAUGAAGUUUUGGUGGAAUUUUCCCACAGGGACGUUGAGAAGCUACUUACAAAGAUAAGGUUCCUGAUAAACCUUAUCUCACGCAUCAUUCCUACUUAUAAUUCCUUUACUUUUCAACUUUGUGAAGAUAUUUUUUUCAUUGAAUAAGAAAAUGUUACGAUAAUAAUACCAAUUAAAAUUUGGUUGUGAUCUCUAUAUCUAAUUGCGAAAAGCACUUUUUAAUUUCCAACGUAUGAUAAUUGGAAAAUUCGGUAAGGAAGAGCAAGGACAUCAAUUGAAAAGGCAUGAACUUUGUGGAUAUGCAACAAGGUUUAUCAGUCUGUUUGAUUUUGAAAUUUGAUUUUUUUAUAGGGGCUUUUUGGGUACAAAAUUUUUAUUUAUAGCGUUUUCUCAAGUAUAAAAUUUUUACAAGAUAACACUAAUUUUAGAUAUACUUUGCCACCAUCAUCUCUCCAAGGGAAUCUCUCAUGCAUCAUUCAAACUUUAUGGUUAUAUUUAUCUUUUGAUUAAUUGUAUUGCAUGCACUUUUGUCAAAGCCCAAUUUGAACUCAAAUUCUAUAGAAAUAUUAGUUUGUGAAAAGUUCGAAAACCAGGAAGAGAUGAUGAAUUUGCAGAAGUCAAAAGAAAAGGAUAAAUCUUCCAAACUCUAGAAGAUGGAUUGUGUGUAAAGCAAAGAGAAAAAUGUGUUGUACAAGUAAAGUCCAGAAGAUGGGGAAUUUUCCUACUCAACCUCCUCCCGAACUCUAUAAAUACUCCCCUAAUCUUCCUCAUAUUCAUCUCUCAAAAGUCUCUCUUCAUCUCUUUCAUAACAUUCAAAUUAGUCUCUUUCUAUUGUUUCUCAUAAAAUCAAGGUUUGUACUCACUCUUAUCUAUCUAUCUAUCUAUCUAUAUGUAUAUGUUAGUGGCCUUCCAUGUACACAUCUGAGAACUAUGGAUGAAUGAUAUGACCUGAAUUUCAAGAUGAAGGUUGAGCUUGUUUUUUCCACAUUAGCCCACUUUGUCUACUCUACCCCAUUACUCCACCUGAUUUUCAUUAUCUCUCUACAUGAUCUUAAUCGUAGUCUUAACCUUUUGAUCUGUGUUUUGCAGGCAGUCGUUCAUUUGCUUUCUUUCAAAUAUACAGACAUAAUCCAUGGCGUUGAACUUAGCACCAAAGUUUGCACAAAAGAUCUUCGAAGGAGAAGGUGGAACAUAUUACCGUUGGUCAAGUGCUGAAUAUGAAUUGCUCAAGGAAGCAAAGGUUGGUGGUGGAAGGCUUGUUCUGCAGCCUCGUGGCUUCGCUCUCCCUCACUAUGCUGACUCCAACAAAAUUGGUUAUGUUCUUCAAGGUCUGUAAAUCCCCGAGCUUUUUAUGUCUUAUUCUUGAUUAGAACUCUUUUUCUAUUUCUUUUUCUUUUUCUUUAGAGAAUUGUUAAUCAUUCCUCCCUAAAAUCUCUUCACCUCAAUUUUCUUUUCUUUCUCAAAAACUAGAACAAAAAGAGUGCACACAGCCAUGGUAGUCGGCUGUGACUGGUGUGAGAGGGAGAGGGGGUCGCCAUGACAUGCAAGAAUGAAAAAGAGAAGAAAGGAACAAGACUAGAAUUGAAGAAAGAAAAGGGAUAAGAGAGAGAUGAAAGAAGUUGAGGGCUAGGGUUAUAUUUGGGAAAAGGAAAAAGAAAUUGAAAAGAGAGAGAGAGAGAGAGAGAGAAAGUGGGCCCUUCAAUACUUCUCUUUUUUUUUAUGUUUCUUUCAAAAUGAUUCUCUGACAUUACCCACUGUGCCAUCAAACCCUAUCCCAGUGGCUCAUUUAUGAAAAUAUAUUUUGUCCACAUCCAGGCAGCUGUGGAGUAGUUGGAAUCGUAUCACCCAAAGCAUCCCAAGAGGUGGUGUUGAGGCUCAAGAAAGGAGAUAUAAUACCAGUGCCCUCUGGAGCAGUUUCAUGGUGGUACAAUGAUGGAGACUCAGAACUAAUUAUCGUAUUCCUUGGUGAAACUUCCAAGGCUUAUGUUCCCGGAGAAUUCACAUACUUCCUACUAACCGGAACUCAAGGAAUCCUUGGAGGUUUUUCCACUGAAUUUAACUCCAGAGCCUAUGAUAUCAACAACGAAGAAGCCAAAAAGCUUGCAAGAAGCCAAUCUGGCGUCUUGAUAAUUAAGCUACCAGAGGGCCACAAAAUGCCCCACCCCUGCAAGAACAGUACUGAUAAAUUGGUGUUUAAUAUUGAUGCUGCAUUACCUGAUAUCCAUGUCCAAAAUGCUGGAUUGCUUACUGCAUUGACAGCAAAGAAGUUUCCCUUCCUUGGAGAAGUUGGGCUCAGCGCCACCCUUGUGAAGCUGGAUGCCAAUGCCAUGUCCUCACCGAUGUACGCUGCUGAUUCGUCGGUUCAAGUAAUUUAUGUUGCAAAAGGGAGUGGAAGGAUUCAAGUUGUUGGUAUCAAUGGUGAACGUGCCUUGGACACGAAAGUGAAGGCUGGUCACUUGCUUGUUGUGCCAAGGUUCUUUGUGGCUUCUGCCAUUGCAGAUGGUGAAGGACUGGAGUACUUCUCAUUGAUAACAGCUACAGAGUAGGCAUCAAUCUAAUAAAUUGUUUUCUCUUUAAUCAUCAUCGAUUGUAGGGUUAAUUACUAACUAUUUGUUAUUUGUCUUUUGUUUGUUUACAGACCUGUAUUUGGUGAAUUUACUGGGAAAACAUCAGUAUGGGGAGCAUUAUCUCCACAUGUUUUACAGGCCUCUCUCAAUGUGGCUCCAGAGUUUGAGCAGCUUUUCAGGGCAAAGAUCAAAAAGAGCACCAUUCUUGUUCCUCCACAGAACUAGAUUGAUUAAGAACCAAGGGCCCUUAUGAUGUAUUAUCAUUUGUUUUCAGGAGUUACAGGGCUGUUACAAUACAAUAAUUGUACUCCUAAGUGUGUCUUUUAUAUGUACAUCUGUGAGAUGGAAAAUGUUGUACAACUAUUAAUUAUAUGGCAAUAAGUUGUUCCUUUGUGUGAUCAGAAAAUCUAUUGCUGCAUUGAUUUUUAAAAAUUUCAAGAAAUAGCCUAUUAGAAGCCUUAAAUUAGGUUGUGAACCUUAUUGUACUCAUUGCGAGUGCGUAUUUGUCUAUGAGAGUGAUGGGUUCAUUCCCAUCAUUUACCUAAUUGACCAAUGAAUGUGGACAAUGCUAUCAUCUCUUUGCUUCAAUCAAACUCCGUAUGUAAACUACACGAUUCAAAUCAUCAUCAAUAAAUCUCCUAAAAAUGAAAGAGAGAUUUAAAUGUGCCUACUCUUUAUGGUCUUAUGCCAAUCAAAACCUACACAAUCAUUCAUGUUCUUGACACAAUAUCUCAUGUUUCUUAAUGAAUAUUUUAACUUCAUACAAAUUAUAUUUGUAUCCUCUAUUUUUGUUCAAAGAAUCUUUCAAGAUUUCUCUUAAAAACUUGAGAGGUGGGGAACUAAGGCUAAAAGGAUGACUAUAUUCAUGUGUAUGCUCUCAAUUCAAUAAAGUAAUUUAUUUAUUUUCAAACUUUGGAAGAUAAAUUUGGAGAGCUACAUCAUAUUGUAGACCACUAAUUUUUUCCCACAAAUACGGCAUGAGCUCAUUUUUAUGUCUUUAGGCCAUGUUUGAUUGACUAUAUAACAUGUAAUAGAAUAAGAGAAGAGAUAUUAUAUCUUAUCCCAUAUUUGGAUGGCGAUAAGAUAUGAUAAAUUAUCUCAUCACUUAUGCUAUCUUAUAUUCAACCAAACAUCGGAUAGAAUAAGUGAUGGAAUAUAUUAUCUACCUUUUUUCUUUAUCCCUUCUGUAUGAGAUAUAUUAAUUUCAUACUAAGAUAUGAAAUAUGUAUAUCUCAUAUAUCUUAAAUUUAUUUUUAAAAAUAAUUUUUUAUUUUUUUAUAUACUCAUUUUGCAAAAUAACUUUUUAUUAUAAAUUAAAUUCAUGAUUAAAAAAAAUAAAAAAUAUUAAUAUAUAUUAUAUAAUUUAUUUUUAUAUAUUGAAUAACAUAAUAUUAAAAAUUUUAAUUUAUAAAAUUUAAAUAAUUUAAUCAUAAAUAUUGUCAAAUAUUAGAGAAAUUUCAUUUUUUAAAAUAAAAAUUUUUAUUACAUGAUAUAAUUUUUAUUUUAAAUAUUAAAAAUAAUACAUAUUGGUGACUUUUUUAGUGAUAACAGAUGAAGAAUGAGUAGAAUUGUCAGGGAAUAGGUAGCAUAAAAAGAGGUAUGAGAUGACAAAGCGAUGGAGUGGUCAAAUGAUUGGUGAAAUAAAAACACCACUUCAUCAAAGAUGAUAUGCCGAGUUAUAUACAUUCUGCCAGAAUUGUAAUCUAAGCACAACUAACCUUUGUGAAUUGUGCUAGAGCCAAGAAAGAUGCAGUAGACUGAUUGACGUAGGAGUUUAAUUGUGUUUAUUAUAUGGGCGAAUAUAGGAUAUCAUCUUUCUUGGCUAUGUUCCCGGAGAAUUCACAUACUUCCUAUUAACCGGAACUCAAGGAAUCCUGGGAGGUUUUUCCACCGAAUUUAACUCUAGAGCCUAUAAUAUCAACAACGAAGAAGCCAAAAAGCUUGCAAAAAGCCAAUCUGGCGUCUUGAUAAUUAAGCUACCAGAGGGCCACAAAAUGCCCCACCCCUGCAAGAACAGUACUGAUAAAUUGGUGUACAAUAUUGAUGCUGCAUUACCUGAUAUUCAUGUCCAAAAUGCUGGAUUGCUUACUGCCUUGACAGCAAAGAAGUUUCCCUUCCUUGGAGAAGUUGGGCUCAGUGCCACCCUUGUGAAGCUGGAUGCCAAUGCCAUGUCCUCACCAAUAUACGCCGCUGAUUCAUCGGUUCAAGUAAUUUAUGUUGCAAAAGGGAGUGGAAGGAUUCAAGUUG